CGUAUGCAUGCAUGGUUGUGAGCUGUGAAUUUUCAUUUUCCUUUUGAAGCGUGACAUGAUAUGUUUCUUGUCGGAUUCAUGUCAGAAUGUGUUGGUGAUGAUUGUUUUCACUGUUUAAUGAAUGGAAUACAGAGGUGCUCCUUUGCCUUGUUGCUGAUAUAGAGAGAUCCGUGAUGUUAAUGACAAAGCAGCAAUGAUUGGACAUGCAUGUUAUUUCUAGACCCAGUUUACAUGUACUUAAAACUUGUUUUUGCCCGACAAGGUGAUUUGUUCACUGGAAACCAGGAAACGCAAACUUGUUCUGUGGCGAGAAAUCAUUUAGCAUGCUGGAAACUUAGAUGCCAUCGUUUAGCGGAUUAAGCAUCAUAGAUGGAAGAGCAGGGAUAUAGUUGUUAUGAUGUAGUUGCUCGCUAUCAAGUAUCUGCAUUCCCAAUAAUGGUUACAAGUAAACAAAAAAGAUGGGGCACAUGAUCGUAUUGGUUUCGCACCAAGAUUGGGCUAUACACCUAUUUAUAAUAUGGAGCGUCAUGGCAUGUGGAUUAUUAGUCCAGAUCUAUCUACAGAAUGGGUUUGGAUUAUUAGUCCAGACCUAUCUACAGCCUACAGGGCAACUCAAUUGGCAGUCUAUUCAGAAUCAUAUUCUUUCAAAGUUGUAAAUGCAUGCGCAGACACAAACUCUUGAUGGACAGAAGUUGCGGCAAUCUACGCGGGUUGUGUGGAUCUAUUAGUGGAGAUAUGGAGCGUUCAUUUUAAGCAUUGUGUGGAUCUAAUUGUGGAGAUACAGAGCGUUUUACAUGAAGCAAACUGUGCCGCUCAUGAGAUUGCUAGAUACAAUGGUUGUUUUUUUAGAAAUGCUAGAUAUAGUUUUGAAAGUAAGCUCUCUUGUAAGUGGGUCGAUGAAACCCCAUAUUUUAUCCUUAAUUCUCUUGUAAACAAUGUACGUGUUAUUUGAAAUCAAUAAAGUAAGCCAUGAUGGCGUCCGCUAUAGUUAGUCUUUUCAGAAGACCCUCUGAGAAGCCUCUUUAUAUAGGUGGCAAGGGGCCCCAUUAUACACAAAAAAUAUCAUUGAUCAAUAAAGUUGAGGAGUCUUCAGCUACAUUUUUGUGCUUCUUUUGUGCUUAUAUUUGGCGUAGUAACAUGAUCAUUACAUUAAAUUAUCGGUAUUACAGUACUUGGUAGUCACGUACACUCCCACACACUUGAUUGGAUUUUAUUUGGGAAUAAUCGCUUUGGUUUUUAUCUUGAUCUAUUGACACCGUUAUCAAAACAAUUGUUAUUGAUGAUCCUAAGAAAUAAAAACAAAGCAACAUGCAUUGAAGGGGUUAUUUCCACACAUGAGUUCACGUGACAAUAAUCUUUGAAUUAAUAAAUACGACAUACUUUGUACUGGGAAAGCAUUGUCGGUCCGUCAUCAAGAAUUGACCAUACUACUUAGUUCAGUCACGAAAGAGACCCGUAAUAAGUUAAUAAUAAUUGAGGAAAUCCAUUUCAUGCACCAACGCAAGUACGUGGAUCAAACACGUCUCCAUCAUUUGACCCGUCGCCAUUUUUUCUGUUAGUGGUUACUUGCACGCAAAUAAAUGCAGUUGUAGACUUGUAGUGUCGUACCGACAUCUGUUAGGUGGAUGCCAAACCAUAUUUAUAUGUUCUGAUGAGAAAAUUCUUACAACACAUACAUGUAGAGGAGAUGGUACAACCGUACAAACAUGCCAAAUUUCAGGGUCAAAACCUUAUGUUGAUCUCGUAAUCCGAGGUCAACACGCCAACACAUGAGUUGAUAGCUUCUUGCCCUGUGAGAGGUUGAUCCAAUCCAACAUGGAUAACGGAUUAUGCGGCACACGAUGAGGAAUUGAAAAUGAAAUGUUGACGACUGUUUAGUGUGUGGACAUUCAUAGUUCAUGUCAUCAUUUUUUUUAUUUUGCAGGGAAAAACUGAUUGCAUUAAGUAAACAUAGUACUCCCUUCCUACCAUCAUCUUAUAUUGUGCAACACAAUCAAGGUGGAGAGGAAAACGAGAGAAGAUAAUGUUCAUUUUGUUAAUCAAUAUUAUUACAUGCAAUGAACUCAUUACUGCAAGCCGUGUUAGGUAGUCUAAAGUCAUUAAACAUAUACAUGUUCCAUGUCUCUAAGUGGAAAUUAAUGCACCACGCUUAAGUGUUUUCGAAUUAUUUGGUUAUGCGGCACACGAUGCAGGAUUGAAAAUGAAAUGUUGACGAUAGCUUAGUGUGUGGACAUUCAUAGUUCACGCCAUCAUUUUUUUUGCGUGGAAAAACUGGUUGCAUUAAUUAAACACAGUAUUACAAUCAUUCUUUAUAACGCUAACCUUCCUAGUUUUGAAUAGUCCACAUUCAAUUCAGGUCUUCAAUUAGAAUUGGAUCACCUGAUUUUGACUAAGUCAAUAAUUUCUUAAAGCUCUUCCGUUCAAUUCUUUUAUACUAUACAAUGUGUUUCCUAAUUUUUAAAGUUGCACAAUUAAUUCAGGUAUUCAAUUUAGAAUUGGGCCAUCCGGUUUAGACCAGGUCAACAAUUUCUCAGGCUCUCUCAUUCAAUUCUUUUAGCUCACUAUCUUCCCUAAUUCUCUCAAGUUCAGAGCAUAUAUAUCAACAUCCCAAUGCUAAACAAAAAAGGUAUAGAAAUUCAUUUCACGAUGAAUCUAAAAAUAUUGAUUUGAUAUAUUUCUCUAUAAAUUUGAUCAAACAUAAAAGGGUUACAUAUUUGAAAAAGCAAUAGACCUUGUAUUUGGAAACAAAGUGAUUGUUUGUUAAAGAAAUUCGACAACACACCAACGGUGUAGCAAAGCGUGCCAAACCCUUCUAGUCUUGGAUGAAAUCACAAACUUUCGAAGGAAAAUUCCCUAGCCAACCAGUGGUGCGCUGCUUAUCCUAUUUGGCUCACCGUGUCCUAGGCAGUGCAAGGAGAGGUGAAACCGUGAAAGAGGUGUUACAUGUUACCCAAACAACUUUGAAGCUAAAUAUCUCGGGCUCUCGGUGCCGGAUGAGAGAGGAAUAAAUGAAAGUUCAAAAGCUUACACGAGAGACUAGCAAAGCGCCUGCUUCAAUGCAGGUGAAAUUUACCUUUCUCGAGAUGGGAAGGAGAUCAUGUUAAAGGCCGUCGUUGUGCAGGCACUACGAGUGUACGUGAUGGGUGUUUUCAAACUCCUAAUCGGGCUUUGUCAUGACCAAACAAAGAUGAUGACACACUAAUGGUGAUGUGCGGACAAUGAAAAAUGGCGGUCUCAUGGGAUCUCUUGUGACAUUAUGCACGGGUCAAAGGUGAUGGGAGGAGUGGGGUUCAAGAGUCAGCGGCUCCUUAAUCAAGCAUUGAAAACGGGGCUAGCAUACGGGCAUGGCAUGACCCCUGGAUCCCUUGCGGUGCAUCAUACAGAUCGAUUACCACACAACAUAAUUUUCAUCUGUGUUGGGUCAUGGAUUUCCAGAUGGUUGAUGAUUCAUGCAUGCCUUCAUGGAAUACUCAACUCAUAUAGUAACACUUCUUCAUUGUGGAUGUUGCAAAGAUUUUGAAUAUCAAACCAUUGAGGCGCCUUGAGGAAGACUUCAGGCCGAGUGAUUGCAGCCAUCAUGGGAGGGCAUCAUUCGGUGCUUCAAGUACAUCGGUGUGGUCGUGACAAGCGCCAUCCUGGGGUAAAUCACAAGUUCUACAAUGGCGGCUUCCCUCUCAUCUGAAGCACGCUUCUUUGGAGUGCUACUUGGGCCUCAACCUCAACCCCAUGUACAAGCACAGCGACGUAGGAUAUAGGAUACCUAAACGUUCAUUUUUUUUGAAACUGGCGGAACACCAUAUUCGUAGAUCAUCGAUUUAAUGACUUCAGCUCGAGGUUUUGAAUCAACUAUCGGAGCCGAUUUCAUCUCUUGAGUACAGUAUACUUUUGAAACAACCUUCUCACUUGUCAAUUACUCGUGUGGAGAUUUGGCGAGUUUCCGUUGUGAGGCCUUGGAGACCCUUCGAGCAUGACCAUAUGCAUGUGCCAUCGACGGUUACUGCUUACAGUUACAGGUGACGAUAUCAUGGUCGCAUCAACGGUAAUGAUAUGAGGUUGUCGUCGUCUCAAAUGUCCUAAAUUGUUUGGUAUAUUCUUGUCUUCUUAGCUGUUCUAUAGUCUCUUGCAUCCUUGGCGCUUUUAUUUUUCAGUUUUUUUAUUUUUAGUUUUGUAUUAAUGGAUGUAAUGUUUGGUUGUGGCUUUAUAUAUAAAGCCUUUAAUAAAAUAGCUUACAUGCGCCUCAGAAACAGGAAGCGAGCUAAGAAAAAGAAAUAGGACACGUUUGCUUACCCGCCUCAUCGAGGCCCGCACAGGAAGAAAAAGGAUCGUUUGGUUACCCUCAUUGACUGUUUGGCCUGCACAGUACGAACAUUAAAGCACCUUUGUUGAGUCAGGCCCAAGCGAUGCAACCCUAGGCACGUGGGCGUGGGCGGUUGCACGCAUGGAUGCAGCCUCGAGACGUCGCGUUAUUUCCCCAAUCGACGUCAUAAAUUACCCUCACCUCCCUUCGGGGGGGGGGCCCUCUUCCCCACUCACAUCAGCGAUGGCGAUCACCGGAGCGACAACACGAGGAUCUACGAUAGCAGCGACCAUCGCAGCGACUUCAGACCUCCGCCACAGCGCAUCGGCCAUGGCGGUAAGUCCUUUUCCCUAUCUACAUUGGCCAUGACUCGGGCUAGAUCUAUUUUGAGCACGGGAUUGGAGAAUUAGGGAGGGGAUUGAACACAUGGAGAUUGGGGAAUUGGAUUCAACACCGCCCUCAUCUUCAGUUCUUGGCUAAUCGAUCGAUUACAUCGGGGGUGGAGAUUGGGGUACUACCUAAUUUUCUAGCCACGAUGACCCUGGAGUCGCGUCGAGCGGUGGUGGGCGUAGGCUUCUUCUUUUCUUCGUCACCAUCGCAUUAUUCCUGACCGUCACAUCAAGAACGAUGGGUCUUGCACGGUCGCCUUCCGUCGACGCCUUGACCAUCAUUUGCACCUCGUUUUCUUCCACUGCUUGCGCCCUCGCCACCAUCUGCACAUCGCCGUCUUCCUCUGCUGGAUCCACCAAAGUCCUUGUCUUCCAGUACACCACAACACGGUGGUCAUCGGGACUAUCAUGAGGAAUAACUACGGGCACUACCAUGAGGAGGAUGGACCAAACCACUUCUGCAAGGUGAUAUUUGCUCUGAAGCUGGAGGCUCUGUCUUUGCAUCUCGACUUCAUGAAGCACUUCCCCGCUAUGUUUAGUCCUAAGACGAACACCAGCUGCUCAUGGAGUGUCACGGUGAAGGUGGUCGACAACGGGGUCACCCUUGAUCAGGGUUGCUCCACCUUCACCAGUGUUCACCACGUCGGGAUCGGGUACAAGCUGACUUUCAAGCUGCUCACCCCUAACACCAUGAAGGUGAUGCAGCGUGGACGUGGUCACCAAGUGCAAGAAACAUGACGAGGCCUUCACCGUGACCGCGUAAAUGACCUCUUGUUCCUAGUUCCGUGUUGUGGGUUGUUCUUUUAAGAGUACUAUGUGUUACGAUGUCGUUUAGAACUUAUCAUACUAUGUUUAAAAUUUUUGUUUGGUUAAACUUUGAUUUGUGCUUAAGUUUGUUUCGGUUGCUUUAUUUUUUUGCAUCUGAUAACCUCACCACAUUGAGGAGGAGGUUAGCACACUAUUGUACUAGAUGUAACCAAACAAUUCAACAUGUGUUUGACCUCAAACCAAGCCACAACCAAACAACAUGCCUUCUGUUUCGACAUAUGCAGGCUACACGGAAUGCAUGCAACCAAUCAACAUGCAGAUGUUGAUUUUUUUGCAUGCAUAUGCUCGACCAGGCCCAACUGGGGCAAGUAUGCAAAUGGCAAAAAAACGAUGCACGUAACCAAACGCGCCCAAAGUGAUCUCUCAAUCACAUCUUGUUUAUUUCAGAUCAAAACUGUCUCUUUCCAUUAGAUGAAGUGCUAUAUAUAGCAUUGGAGCAAGCGUUUACAAGGGGGCGCCAUUUCAGACAGAACCGACGCAAUGGUUGCGUAAAGCAUGUGCCAAUGAUUAUAACAAGUAGGGGUUAAUCCCUUAAUUGCUAUAUUAAUUAAUCUUAGCACUCCCCCUAAUCCAUGCUUGUCCAGGUAGCAUCAUCAUCUCGAAAGAGUCUCCUUUAAAAACCCUAUGGAAAAAAUAUGAGGAGUAUAUUAUUUGAUAAGUUGCCAACACUCCUUCAAACCCAGUGGAAAAAAUAAGGAGAAAAUGAUGCAACAUGUCAUCAUUAUUGUCUCUUUUAACUCAAUAUGAGAAAAUUGUAGAAUUUUGAGGAAAAUAAAUAUGGCGUAUAUACUUUAUUAAAACCCGAGUGGGGAAAACACAAAAUAUGACAUCUGGUCUUGUGUUGAUAUUACCUCAUUAAAAACCUUUACGAGAACCUAUAUAGUAAACUCAUGAAGGGAAAAAGAGUAUAAUAUGAUGCAUUGAACAGGAACAAUUCAGGAAGAUACUCCCCCUGAUUCUUGCAAACUUCGAAGCCGUGACAUACCAAUUCCAUGAACAUAUUUCUGGAAUGUAAAAAUUGGUAGAGACUUCGUGAGAAAAUCAGUCACAUGAUGUAAUUUACAAGAUAUGCAAGCGAUAUUGCUUACGUAACCUGUUUGCAUCCGGGCAACACAAGAAAUAUUAUAUUUGAGAUAAUAGUUAGUGGAUGUAGCCAUUAAGGUCGGUUGCAAAAAAUGUUAUGCAAUGACUAUCACACCUAGUAGGAACACUAAGCUUGCCUAUGAUAUGACAUAGUAGGGAUCUGAUCAAUGUAUCCAAUGGUAUUGGUGUUCAGAUUUAUCUGAAACUGAAAAACCAGGACAAGAUGUUUGAUACCUUUGGAGAUAUCAAUAGAUAUUCUUGAGUCCCAACAAAUUGUGUUUGGUGGAUCCAAUGGCAUUAUGAAACGUUGAGUCCCAAUAUCUGAUUUUCAUCAUCUCUUGGUUUAAAUAGAUCAUUCUCUGCGUCUAGAGAAUGAAUUACCAUGAGAGUUAUGGAUGGAUAAGAUUUGUCCACAAUGAAUUUCUCCAAUAUAUUUUGGAUAUAGACAACAUAGUAUACCAUAACGUAUGAAUGAAGGUGCUCAAGUUAUAGUAACGAGCGGUAUUUUGGUUUACCCAAAUCCUUAAUUUUAAUCUCCGUCAUUUAGAUGAUUACAUGUGUCGUCAGUACAAAGACACAAACAUGGAUAAUCAUCAUUGUAGGAGUAAUCCUUGUGUAUAAGGAACUCAUUACAUUAGUUGUACCGACAACAAUAAGUAGUAUGGUGACUUACUGAAUUUUACACAAUGUAUGUUACAUUUUGUACUUCAAUAGAAUUGAGAUUACAUCGGAAAUAUAUCAUAUAUGUCUGAAUCUAGUGAGCCACAUGGAUAUGUGAUCACUACAUCUAUCAACCGCAUAGAUAAAUGAUCUUAUAUUCUCAAUGAUACAAGUUGUCGGAAAGAAGUUCCACCUCUAGAGAAUAGUUGGGUAUCUGCAUGAACCCUUAUGCUACAAUACUUGCUCUAUGUUUCACAACCUUGUUGUUCUCAAUUCUGUUUCCAGAAGAAAACUGGUGUAGGUAUUGCUUAUGAAUACCUUCCCUUUAUUGAGCAAGAUUAUUUCUACCUAGAUUAUACCAUUUUCUUGAGUUCAGUUUGAGUGUUGUUCACACUUUGCCAUGCCCAUAGUCUUGGAUCUGAAUCAUUUGAAAGGUUUUUGAAAUCUAGUUGAGAAAUGUAUAUCGACAAUUGUAGACUUCUGGUUAUAUGUUUCUCUAGAAUCUAUAUAUCAAUAUAUAGUUGAUGGAAAUAUCGUUACCCAUGGUGACUGCUCGCGAUUUCCCGGUGCGAAUGAGUCGUGUAUUCCGAUGUCCCAGUCAUUAUGUGCAGUAUGACCUGGGUUAGUGGAGGUUUCCCAUCCACUUGGUAUACUACUCAUACGUAUCCAACGUAUCUACAAUUUUUUGAUUCUUCCAUGCUGAUAUAUUAUCAUUCUAGAAUACUUUUGGGGUAUUUAUUUACCAAUUUAUAUUAUUUUUGAGCACUAACCUAUUGAUCCAGCGACUACUGCCAGUUGCUAUUUUAUGCGUGUUUUUCACUUUUCAGGUUUUCCAUAGCAAACGAAGUCCAAUUGCCCUGAAAAUUUUUGGUGAUUUUUUCUGGACCAAAAGAAGACCAACGAGCAUCGGAAGAAGGUUGGAGGCCUCACAAGGGGCCCACAAACCAACAGGGCGCGUCAUGGGGGCGCGCCCUGAUGGCUUGUGCCUCCCUCAUGGCCCUCCCGACUCCGUUGUUUGGCUUAUAAAUUCUCAUAUACCCUAAAAACAUCAGAGGGAGUUCCGAAACACUUUCUACACCAUCGCAAGUCUCUGUUCCGAUGGGAGGCCAUCUGGAGUUCCAUUCCGACACCCUGCUAGAGGGGGAUUGAUCAUAGAGGGCCUCUUCAUCAACCUUUCUACCCUCAUGAUGAUAUGUGAGUAGUUCACCACACACCUACGGGUCCAUAGCCAGUACCUAGAUGGCAAUCUCUCUUUGUCUCUCUUUUAUCUUCAUUACAAUGACCAUCGCAACUUCGCUUUGAUCCAUAUAUAUGAUGUAAUUCCUUUCGUGCGAUGCAUUUGUUGGGGUCUGAUGAAUUGUGGGUUUACGUUCAAAUUAUUCGUGAUAAAUAUUUGAGUCUCCUCUGAAUACUUGUAUGAUUCUAAUGUGAAUGAUUAUGAUAGGUUCAUAAUUCUCUCCGAUCUAUUGAAAUAGUUUGGCCAACUAGAUCGAUAUUUCUUCGGUGAGAGAGGUGCCUUGUGGUAGGUUCAACCUCGCGAAUUUCUAUAUCCCAGUGACAUAAGGGGACAAGAUGCAUCUUUGUAUUGCCGCUACGAAGGAUAAAACGAUGGGGAUUAUUCAUAUUGCUUGAGUUUACUUUGUCUACAACAUGUCAUUUUCUCCAUGCAUUACUCUGUUUUACUUAAUACUCUAGAUGCAUGCUGGAUAUCGGUCGAUGAGUGGAGUAAUAGUAAUAGUUGCAGGGAGGAGUCGGCCUAUUUUUUAUGGACGUGAUGCAUAUAUACACAUGAUCAUUGCCGUGAAUAUUGCAUAACUAUCCGCUUUUCUGUUAGUUGCCCAACAGUAAUUUGUGUACCCAUCGUAUGCUAUUUUUCAUGAGAGAUGCCAUUAGGGGAAAGCUAUAUCUCCCGGGUCUAUUCAUAACUUAUUGAUAAAACCUUCAUUACCUUGCUUCCAUUUCAUUGUUUUAUGUUAUCUUGCUAUCUACAAUUGUCUACACACCUCACUUGCUUGCAAAUAACAAGACAAGAGGAUUGACAACCGAGUUGCCCGCGUUGGGUGCAAGUUAUUUGUUCUUUUGUGUGCAGCCGCUGAAGACGGUUGUGGUUGAUAUUCCUAUUGGUUCGAUAAACCUUGGUUUCAUAACUUAGGGAAAUACUUACCCACAUUGUGUUGUGAUAACCCGUUCCUCUUCACGAAAAACCCAACGUAGAUCACAAGUAUCAUGAAGGAUUUAUGGCGUCAUUGUCGGGGAAUAUCAUCACCAACUACCAAGUAACUCCACACAAAAUUUCAUUCACUUGUUUCCAUCUUUUUUUUGCUGUUCUAUUUAAUUUGUCUCAUAAAAAAAUANAUACAAAAAUAUUUACAUUUUCUUGUUUUGCUUCUCACUAGAUUGCAUCUUCGCUCUCUAGUUUUCUUGAAAGUUGUUAUCAUGUCUCAGUUUGAAAUUAGUGAUGCCUCCGCCUCUAGUGUGGGAACCCUUGAUUUGCCAACUUUAACUUACGAUGAGAAUGCUAAAGUAAAUUUUGAUGAAGUUUCUAAUGAAAAACUUGAUAAUCUUGCGAAUCAUGAUCCUCCUAAGGUAGAACCUAUUAUGCAAACUAAGAAACUCCGCAUAGGUGGUGGUAAUAUUAUUGGAAAGUGUGUUAUUCAAGAUUUUUUUCACUUGUGCAGGAUCAUUCCCUUUUAUAGGAGGUUUUGUUGUUGCUAGAACUACAAGUUAUGUGAAUGUCAUAUAUUUUCUUAUAGUACAAUCGGAGAGACAAUUUGUGCAUAUGCAUCCUUUUAUACAAUGGUUGUUCCUAGAAUUCUCUAAUAUCCAUGAAGCUAGCACUAAACAUCUAGCUACUUGUCACAUCCCUGGAUCCCUAACUAGGGUUUAGUAUUUGUGCUCAUGUUUUCUUCCAUUGCAUUCAAGAAAUUGAAACAAACUCCAAGAAGUGCUGAAACUCAAACCAAAAACCCUAGCCACUUCUAAUUCAAGGAAAAUUCAAAUCUUGUCAAAAUCAAUGAACCCAAAAUGGCCUUCUUUAAAGUUCAAUAUUUCUGAUAAAUAUUGAAAACAAGUUAUCAGGGGAGAAAACUAUUUUUAAGACAUCCUUGGCAUUUUAAAUUUAAUUCAGAAAGCCCCUGAAUUCAAACUUAAAUUUGAAUUCAAAUAUUUACAAGUUUCAAAACUGUUGCAAACCUCACGAGUAGUUGGCAAUAUUCCAACUAUCACUCCGGGCUAUUCAAAAUAAUUUUUGAACUAAUUUUGGAGCCAAUAUAAAUGGCAAAUCAAAUCAGCAACAAAACAGAAAACAAAAAUAGAAAAAAAUGGGAAAAACUUACCUGUCGCUCACCUGAGGAAGCCCAGCCCACAGGGGCAGGUUCGUCUUCUUCCUUCUGCCUUCUGGCAGAGGAGUGAACGCCCACGGUGACUCCUCCACCUCCUGCUUGCCGUGGCGCGCUCCGGUGCCCCCAGGACAGCGCGAUGGCGGGAAUGAGACCCCCGCACGCGUCCUUAUCUUCUCCCGUUCCCCAUUCCGCCCCCUCCUCUCGGCUUUCUUCCUUUCUUCUUGUGCCGCCAUGGACAGAGCUCAAGCUCGAGCUGCCCGAGCCCUCUAGCCACAGGAUACUUCCUCCGAGUGCUCCAUUUUCUCCGCCUCGUCGAGCUAGCCAUGUACGCCGAAGCAUUCGACCUCCCCAAGCUCUGGUGCGCCACAUCGCCGUCGUCUUCAACCUCCGGCCGUCGGCAAGCUUCUGUUGAUUCGACGUCCACAGCACCUCCCCGAGCCGUCUGAGCUUCCCAUCGCCUCCACCGUGAGCUUGCGCGUGUUUCCCCUCUUCUUCCCCCCAUUUUCCUGCAUGCUAGCCACUAGACCGACGAGCCCGAGCUCCGGCUGCUGCCUCAGCUCGUCGCUGGUGACCUCCGGUCAAUCCCAGUCCUUCCUGAAACCCAUAAUGGAUGAGGUCGAGCCUCGGGAUCCUCCCAGUGCUCUCGGCACUCGAUCCUGAGCACCACAUGCACCACAGUAAGUAAAGGUUGUGUGUUGAACCUGAUUUGGUAAAGGUACCGGUGAAAGGCUAUGUAGGAGUACAUGGCGGGUUGUUUCAUUGGAACCGUCCUUAGGAACUGAGUUCCGUGUAUGUAAUCCAAGACUAUAUACUACAACACGUUGGGAUACUUAAUUGACACUCACGACUUAUUAAUCGCUUAGUACUCGGUCCAGGAGUUGCAAGUAGUUUCUGGUGUUUAUAGUCAUGCUGGAGGCCGUGCGUAGCGCUGACCUUAGAAGUGGGAUAUGAUGCGGUAGGCAGUGGCACGGUGUACCAAGGGGCACCCGGAUGGUGGGCUUGGGAACCCUGCGCACAUCGUUUGGGGCCGUGGCGGAAACCUCGGCCGGACUUCCGUGCGGGUUACCCUCAGAUAGGCGAUAGACCUGGACUAAGUAUUAGCGUGGUUAACGGUCGUGGCCGACUCUCUCACUGGGCUUCCGCUUGGAGGUUGCCGAGGUGCAUGUCGUGCACAUGGCGAUAAGUGGCGAGAGCAUGUGUGAAGAAGUACACCCCUGCAGGGUUAUGAUCUAUUCGAAUAGCCGCGUCCACGGAUAUGGACUACUUGGAAGCAUAUGUUGUUCAUAGAUAACUUUAAUGGCUACUCAUAAAAUUGUCAAGAUAAGUGUGAGUGUCGUGGACGGCAUUUCCGUAUGGAGACGGAAUGAUUCCACGAUGGAGUAUUGUUGUGGUGUUAGUGGACUCAUGUGCGAGAAAUCAAGUUGUCAAAAUUAUUUAAAAAUGCAAGUUGUCUAGCCACGAGUCAAAUGUUGGCUUUCCGCAUGAAACCCCACAAUUCCUUAUUGAUACAUUGCAUGAGUAGAUAGCUUAUCCUAAAGUCUUGCUGAGUACUUUUGUACUCAUGUUUGCUUAAUAAUUGUUGCAGAGGUUGUUAAUGACCCUAAUGGAGGGUUCUACCUAGACAUCGACGAUGACGAGUAGCUGGGAUCUGGCCCUAGGGUGGGUCUGUAGAUAGUCAGGCCAUGUGCCUUUAUCUUUCCCUCUGUCUGUACUCAGACAGCUUUAAAUCUUCCGCUGGCUAGUAAGAUUGUGUGUAUGACUUGUGAUGAUGGGUCGUGAGACCCCUACUUUGUAAUAUUAUGUGUGUGGAUCUUCCGAGCCUUCUAAAUAAAGUUUGUAUGUUUAUGGUUAUGUUGUGAUGCCAUCGAUGUAUCUAUACAUAUCGGUAGGCCAUGCGUACGUGUGUUGUACUUGAUAUGUAUGGGGUUCGAUUACCUAGUCGUAGGCUUUAGUAGCAUUCCUUACAGGGAAAUGCCCCUUUGUGAUCCAACGAGCCAUGGUAGUUCGCUACUGCUCCGGACACAUUGGUUGACCAGCAUGUGUCCUUCUUAGCUAUUGUGUCUGUCCCCGUUGGGGAAAUUUUACCCGAUGUAAUGGAGUCCUUGUAGCUUGCUUCGACUUGUCUACAUUCGCUGGUGACCGACACCUGCUUUGCUGGGUCAUGUAUGCAUGUCCCUGUGUGGAACUGCCGCUUUGGUUUAUGACUAGACAUGUCGAUCCGGGUUCUUUGUCAUUGGAUUGCUAGCGACACAAUUGCAUACGCGAGUCAAAAGUCGCAAACGGUCCCGGCUAAGGUAAGGCUGCAACCGUGGGGAUAACCGUGUGUGAGACCGCAAAGAGAUGCGAUGUGUUACAGUCUGGAUUCCUAUGGCUUAGGAUCGGGGUCCCGACACUACUAUAUUCCUUUUCUAAAGAAUUUAGUAAUAUCAUACAAGAAGCUAGAGAUAUAUUUUCUCAUUUUAGGUUUGAUGGUGAUUUCCCACCCAUAGAGGGGAUUCUUUAUGAAUUGGAAGAAAUAAGAAAACUAAGAUCCAUAGACUAUCUUGCUUAUGAUGAGAACCUUAGAAAGAAGGUACCGCUUAAUGUCUUAGUUGAUAAUAUUUCUAAACACAAUGAUUAAUUUGCUAUAUCAAAACUUGGAUUGGAUUAUGAUCUUCAAACAAAAUUAAGGAAAUACCUCCAUAGGAAUUUAUACAAUGAGGAACUAACUAUCACUUAUGAAAAACCCAAGGGAGAGCCUCAUGUCCCCCCCCCCCAAAGUAGACCUUUCGGAUCCUAAUGUUGUGCUAUUUAACCCCUUCAAUUAUUUUUGCUAACCUAUCAUAAAUCUUGCUGCUCAAUAAAGGGAAUAUGAUUAUAGAAUGAUGGGUCAUUCUUAAAAAUAUGACAACACUUGAAACUAUGCAAUAUACCUAGCUAGGGGCAUAAAACAAUAGCGCUUGUUGGGAGGCAACCCAAUAGUUAUCUCUAUUUUUUCUUUUAAAUUUUUAUCAGUUUGCGAUAACAUGAUUAUUUCCUAUGUAAUUAUUAUGUUUCUAUGUUUAAUUACUGUUUGUACCAAGUAAAUCCUUUGGGAUGAUUUGCAUGAUGAGUAGAAUUAAUACGGUGCAAAAACAGAAACUUUGACGUCCACUACAGAAUAUCUCUGAUUUUACUAGAACGUAUUUUCAAGCUGAAAUUUUUACACGCUAUGAAUACGCAAAUUCGUUAGGUCGUCCUAAACUUUCAGAACUUUUGGAGUUACUUUAGUAUAGGUUCAUUACAAAUUACCACAGAUUGUUCUGUUUGAGUCACAUUCUGUUUUUGCAUGCGAAGUUUGCUUGUUUUGAUGAUGCUAUGAAUUGUAUCAGGGUAUAAGCCAUGGAAGAGUUAGGACACAGUACCCUAUGCUAAAAUAAAAUAAUAAUCAACUUGUAAGAGAACCUGAAAGUAUUUGAUAUGUUGCUGAUACUAACGGAUCUCACAAAGUUUUGUUGAGUUUUAUGUGAUUGAAGUUUUCAAGUUUUGGGUAUUGUCCUAAUGGACAAAGGAUUGAGGAUCAGCAAAAGCCUAAGCUUGGAAAUUCCCAAGGAACCCCAAUGUAAUAUUCCAGGAAGGCUCAAGCGUCUAAGCUUGGGGAUACCCCGAAAGACAUCCCCUCUUUUCGUCUCAAUCCAUCGGUAUGUUACUUUGGGCUAUAUUUUUACUCAUCACAUGAUAUAUUUUUACUCAUCACAUAAAAUCAUUGUUUGCUGGACACACCUAUCUUAGAGAUAGACCACGUCAUCACAAUUUGUUAGAAUACUCUAUGUGCUUCACUUAUAUCUUUUGAGCUUAGCAGUUGCUCUAGUACUUCACUUAUAUCUUCUCGAGCACGGUGGCAUGUAGAUUUUAUUGAAAUAUUAUGAUCUCGUUCUUCACUUAUAUUUGUUUGAGAGAUGAACAAAUAGUGACAGUAAUUUUCAUGGGUCAUAAGACUAGAUAAAAAAUAAUGAGUAUUCAAUGAGUGAUAAUUAAAACCAUCAUGUAGCACAUAUAGAGAAAUUAUGGGUUAAUGAUAUUGAUGUGGUGAUAUGGAAAAGGUAAGAGUGCAUUAUUAUUAAUUCAGAAAGGUGUAGAUAUUAAUAGAUGUUAAACUUUGUGCUCAUCUAAAAUAUUAAAAGGGCAUGGUGAUGAUGUGUGAACAUUUCUAUUCCUCGCUGAAAUCCUAGCGUUGUUUUUAGUCGAAGACGCACGAUGGUUAAUUCCUACCAACCCUCUCCCUCAGGGCAUGCGAGUAGUACUUUGACUUGUGAUAAAACUAAUAAAACUUUCCAACAAGUAUAUGAGUUCUUCUUGACUAAUGUGACACCAUGGACAUAUGCAAUCUCACCUCCUCUUAAUUGCUAGCCUCUUCGGUAUCGUGCAUCGCCCGUUCUCACCUUGAGGGUCGGUGCGACUUUCGCCAGUGUAUCCCAACCCCGUGACAUGACACGCACUGUUGCACAUAAACCUUUUUAUAUACUCCUCAAAACAGCCACCAUAACUACCUAUCAUGGCAUUUUCGUAUACAUUCCGAGAUAUAUUGUUAUGCAAAUGUCACCGUCACUUCACAUGACUAGUUCGUUCAUAAUCAUAAUGCUUUGCAUGAUCAUAUAGAGAUGACAUAGUAACCAGUAGCAACAAAGUGACAACAGUAGAAGCAAAGUAACAGCAGUAGCGGCAAAGUAACAGUAGCAGCAGUGACAGCAGUAGCGGCAAAGUAACGUAGCAAGGACCAGUAGGAAAAAAACUCGUAGGCAUUAGAUCGGUGAUGGAUGAUUAUGUCGGAUGUUAGUCAUCAUGCAACAGCUAUAACACGGAGAGAUAUGUAACUAGCUCCAGUUCAUCAGUGUAAUGUAGGCAUGUAUUCCGUAUGUAGUCAUACGUGCUUAGGGAAAAGAACUUGCAUGACAUCUAUUGUCCAUCCCUCCCGUGGCAGAGGGGUCCUAAUGGAAACUACGGGAUAUUAAGGUUCUCCUUUUAAUAAAGAACCGGACCAACGCAUUAACACUUGGUGAAUACAUGAACUCCUCAUACUAUGGUCAUCUCCGGGAGUGGUUCUGGCUGUUGUCACUCCGGGGUUGCCGGGUCAUAACACAUAGUAGGUGACUACAACUUGCAAGAUAGGAUCAAGAACACACAUAUAUUGGCGACAACAUAAUAGGUUCAGAUCUGAAAUCAUGGCACUCGGGCCCUAGUGACAAGCAUUAAGCAUGGCAAAGUAGUAGCAACAUCAAUCUUAGAACAUAGUGGAAACUAGGGAUCAAUCCCCGUCAAAACUAACUCGAUUACAUGAUAGAUCUCAUCCAACCCAUCACCGUCGAGCAAGCCUACGACGAGAUUACUCACGAACGGUGAAGAGCAUCAUGGAAUUGGCGAUGAAGGAAGGUUGGUGAUGACGCUGGCGACGAUUUCCCCUCUCCGGAGCCCAGAACGGCCUCCAGAUCUGCCCUCCAGAGGAAGAACUGGAGGUGGCGGCGCCUCCGUAUUGUAAAACGCAAUGAACUCUUCUCCUUGAUUUUUUCGGACGAAAAGGACUAAAUAGACCUGAGAUUGGAAGCGAUGGAGCAAUGGGCCCCACAAGCCUGCCAGACGUGGCCAGGGGGGCCCACGCCUGGUGGGCUUGUGGGCUCCAUGAUCCACUUUCUCCGUUGAUUCUUGCGCCAGUAUUUUUCAUAUAUUCCACAAAAAUUCUUCGUAAAUUUUCAGGUCAUUCCGAGAACUUUUAUUUCUGCGCAAAAACAACACCAUAGAAAUUCUGCUGAAAACAGCGUUAGUCCGGGUUAGUUCCAUUCAAAUCAUGCAAAUUAGAGUCCAAAACAAGGGCAAAAGAGUUUGGAAAAGUAGAUACAACAGAGACGUAUCAACUCCCCCAAACUUAAAACCUUGCUUGUCCUCAAGCAAUUCAGUUGUCAAACUGAAAGAGACAAAAGGAAAACUUUUACGAACUCUGUUUGAUCUUGUUGUUGCAACUAUGUCUAACUCAUAUCCAGAAUUUCAGCAAGAUCACAAGCUAACCACAUAAGCAAAUGACAUCUAGGUCUCACGGUAAACUCAUAUCAAUGGCAUAAUCAACUAGCGAGCAAAUAAUAAUAAGUCUCAAACGUCAACACUUCAAUCAAAACAAUCAUGAAGCAGUACGAAUAGAUGGUAUCUCUCUAGCUCUUUCUGAGACCACAAAACAUAAAUGUAGAGCACCUUCAAAGACCAAGGGCUGACUAAACAUUGUAUUUCAUGGCAAAAAAGAUCCAGUCACAGUCAUACUCAAUCACAGUUAAAAGCAAAGCAUAAAAAUGACAGAGGUGCUCUCUAAUUGGUGCGUUUAUAAGAAGAGGAUGACUCAACAGGAACAUAAAUAGAUNNNNNNNNNNNNNNNNNNNNNNNNNNNNNNNNNNNNNNNNNNNNNNNNNNNNNNNNNNNNNNNNNNNNNNNNNNNNNNNNNNNNNNNNNNNNNNNNNNNNUAGUGGUAUAUAUAGUUUAGUUGGUAGGUUAGUUAAUUAGUAGAUUUAGUGGUAGUUUAGUUAGUUGGUAGAUUAUGUUUAGUUAGUUGGUAGUUUAGUUAGUUGGUACAUUUAGUUAGUUAAUUAGUAGAUUUAGUAGGUAGUUUAGUGGUAGAUUGUGUUUUGUUAAUUAGUGGUAGCUAGAUUGUCUUUUAGCUACUUAGUGGUAGAUUCUGUUUUUGUUAUUUUGUUGUUGUUUAGUGCUAUAUAGGUUUAGCGAUAGGUUUAGUGCUAGUUUACGUAGAUAAGGGAAGAAUAAUAAGNNNNNNNNNNNNNNNNNNNNNNNNNNNNNNNNNNNNNNNNNNNNNNNNNNNNNNNNNNNNNNNNNNNNNNNNNNNNNNNNNNNNNNNNNNNNNNNNNNNNNNNNNNNNNNNNNNNNNNNNNNNNNNNNNNNNNNNNNNNNNNNNNNNNNNNNNNNNNNNNNNNNNNNNNNNNNNNNNNNNNNNNNNNNNNNNNNNNNNNNNNNNNNNNNNNNNNNNNNNNNNNNNNNNNNNNNNNNNNNNNNNNNNNNNNNNNNNNNNNNNNNNNNNNNGAAGAUGAAGAAGAAGAAAAUGAAAUCCCGACACCACGACACCUGACACGAUGCCCCGAAUCCUCGACACGACGCCCCGACACGACAUCUCGACGACUCCCCGACACGAAAUAUUUUUUAUGGAUCCUAGAUGACAUCUAUAUAGGUCAUAUAUUUGUGUUAGGUCAUAUAUUUUUCGAUUUUAUUAAUGAACACAAAAUAUUUGUGUUCAACGGGUGGAUUUACAUGUCACAGUUGUCUCGCUGCUGUCAGGUCUGCUGUCCGAAGACCUCCCCGUGCGUUCUACGAGCUCCGCCCCUGCAUUUGUGGGUGAGUACAAAUGUCAUAUCCUCCUCGCCCCUUCAUUUUUGGUGGGUCGGUCUUCAGAUGAAACUUGCUAGAUAUAGGUAAUUAAAUUAAUUUAUCAGUAUGCGUGACCAGUAUGUGUUUGCCAUUCGAAAGGGUUACAGUUAUAAAUAUGCAUGUAUUUGCAUAUAUUUAUAACCGCGAUUCUUCCGAAUUGUCCAACGUUAUACAUGGACAACCCGAGUAUGUGUAGAUUGGGUUCAUUUUCCCAUAUGCUUUGUUCCGGAUCCGAUGCAUAAUUUCGUCAGUGCCUCCCUCUUGUUCUCCGGAUACACAUCCUCUCUGUUUAUUAUGGAGACGUGUAUCAGGAGAACAACGGGGAGAUCCUACCGAAAUUUUGCGUUGGAUCCGGAGUAGGGCAUGGGAAAAUGGACCCAAUCUACACAUACUCGGGUGGGAUUAGGACCUAUCUUUACCUAUUAGCGCGUAGGUUGCAUUGACGUAAUAAAACUGGCGAACUUGAUUAACUGAUGAAUAUAUAUGCUGAAUUAUAUAUAAAUAUAUUUCUUGUGUGUUUAGUAACUAGGCAAGAUGAGUGUGUUGGAAAUAUGCCCUAGAGGCGAUAAUAAAAUGGUUAUUAUCAUAUUUCCUUGUUCAUGAUAAUCGUCUAUUGUUCAUGCUAUAAUUGUAUUAACAGGAAACAGUAAUACAAGUGUGAAUAAAUAGAUCACAAUGUGUCCCUAGCAAGCCUCUAGUUAGCUAGCUCGUUAGUCAAUAGAUGAUCAUGGUUUCCUGAUCAUGGGCAUUAGAUGUCAUUGAUGACGGGAUCACAUCAUUGGAGAAUGAUGUGAUGGACAAGACCCAAUCCUAAGCAUAGCACUAGAUCAUAUUGUUGGUAUGCUAAAGCUUUUCUAAUGUCAAGUGUAUUUUAUUUCAACCGUGAGAUUGUGCAACUCCCGGAUACCGUAGGAGUGCUUUGGGUGUAUCAAACGUCACAACAUAACUGGGUGACUAUAAAGGUGCACUACGGGUACCUCCGAAAGUGUCUGUUGGGUUGGUACGAAUCGAGAUCGGGAUUUGUCACUCCGUGUGACGGAGAGGUAUGUCUGGGCCCACUCGGUAGAACAUCAUCAUGAGCUCAAUGUGACUAAGGAGUUAGUCACAUGAUGACGUGCUACGGAACGAGUAAAGAGACUUACCGGUAAUGAGAUUGAACAAGGUAUAGGUAUACCGGCGAUCGAAUCUCGGGCAAGUUCUAUACCGACAAACAAAGGGAAUCGUAUACGGGAUUGAUUGAAUCCUUGACAUCGUGGUUCAUCCGAUGAGAUCAUCGUGGAGCAAGUGGGAGCCACCAUGGAUAUCCAGACCCCACUGAUGGUUAUUUGUCGGAGAGGCGUCUCGGUCAUGUCUGCCUGUCUCCCGAACCCGUAGGGUCUACACACUUAAGGUUCGAUGACACUAGGGUUAUAGGGAAUUUUUAUACGAGGUUACUGAAAGUUGUUCGGAGUCUCGGAUGAGAUCCCGGACGUCACAAGGAGCUCCUAAAUGGUCCGAAGGUAAAGAUUGAUAUAUAGGACGGAUGGUUUGGGACACCGGAAGUGUUUCGGGCAUCACCGGUAACGUACCGGGACCACCGGGACCAUCGGAGGUGGCCCCGGGGAUCCACCGAAGGGUGGCAACGACCCCGGGAGGUAAGAUGGGCCAAGUGGGGAAGGGAACCAGCCCCUAGGUGGGCUGGUGCACCUCCCCACUCAGCCCAAUGCACAGGCGAGAGGGAAGGGGGGGGCAAACCCUAAGCCAGGUGGGCCUAAGGCCCACCAGGUGGUGCGCCACCCCCUCCCACCCUAGCCGCCGCACCUGUUUCCCAUCUGGUGGCUGCCACACCACCUAGGGGGGAACCCUAGGGGUGGCGCACCCCCCUCCCCCUCCUCCUAUAAAUAGAGAGGGGUUUUGGCCCUUGGGAGAUAGACUUUUCCCUCUCUCUCGGCGCAGCCCUACCCUUCUUCCUCCUCCUCUCUGUCGGUGCUUGGCGAAGCCCUACCAGGAGACCUCGUCUCUCCAUCGACACCAUGCCGUCGUGCUGCUAGAGUUCUUCCCCCAACCUCUCCCUCCUCCUUGCUGGAUCAAGGUGCGGGAGACGUCACCGGGCUGCACGUGUGUUGAACGCGGAGGUGUCGUAGUUCGGCACUAGAUCGGAAUCGCUGCGAGUACGACUCCAUCAACCGCGUUCUAGCAACGCUUCCGCUUAGCGAUCUUCAAAGGUAUGAAGAUGCUCUUACCCCUCUCUCGUUGCUGGUCUCUCCAUAGGAAGAUCUGAAUAUGUACGUAACCCAACAGUGGCAUCUGAGCCAGGUUUUCUAUGCGUAGAUUCUAUGCACGAGUAGAACACAAAAGUUGUGGGCGAUGAUUUGUCAAUUUGCUUGCCGCUACUAGUCUUAUUAUUUUCCGGCGGUAUUGUGGGAUAAAGCGGCCCGGACCGACUUUAGACGUACGCUUACGUGAGACUGGUUCCACCGACAGACAUGCACACCGUGCAUAAAGGUGGCUAGCGGGUGUCUGUCUCUCCUACUCUAGUCGGAUUGGAUUUGAUGAAAAGGGUCCUUAUGAAGGGUAAAUAGCUUUGGCGUAUCAUCAUUGUGGCUGUCACGUAGGUAAGAAGGCGUUCUUGCUAGAAACCCAAAUCAGCCACGUAAAACUUGCGACAACAAUUAGAGGACGUCUAACUUGUUUUUGCAGGGUUUGACAUGUGAUGUGAUAUGGCCAAAGUUGUGAUGUUGCAUGUAUGAUGUAUCAGAUGAUCAUGUUAUUGUAAUAGGUUUCACGACUUGCAUGUUGAUGAGUAUGAAAAUCGGCAGGAGCCAUAGGAGUUGUCUUAAUUUAUUGUAUGAGAUGCAACGCCAUGUGCUUACUACUUUUACUUCAUUGCUAAUGGUUAGCUAUAGUAGUAGUGAUAGUAGUAGUUGGCGUGACGACUUCAUGGAGACAUGAUGAUGGAGAUCAUGGUGUCACGCUGGUGACGAUGAUGAUCAUGCGAUGCCUGAAGAUGAGAUCGAAAGGGCGAAGAUGAUAAUGGCCAUAUCAUGUCACUAUAUGAUUGCAAUGUGAUGUUUAUCAUGUUCUACAUCUUAUUGCUUAGAACGACGGUAGCAUAAUAAGAUGAUCCCUCUUAAAAUUUCGAGAACGUAUUACCUUAAGUGUGCAUAGUUGCGAAGGUUCAUUGUCUCGAAGCACCACGUGAUGAUCGGGCGUGAUAGAUUCUAACGUUCGCAUACAACAGGUGUAAGCCAGAUUUACACACGCGAAACACCUAGGUUGACUCGACGAGCUUAGCAUGUACAGACAUGACCUCGAAUACAAGAGACCGAAAGGUCGAACAUGAGUCGUAUGGUUGAAUACGAUCAUCAUUAAGUUGCUCACCAUGGUGACUAGUCCGUCUCACGUGAUGAUCGGACACGGGUUAGUCAACAUGGAUCAUGUAUCACUUAGAUACCUAGAGGGAUAUCGAUUUAAGUGGGAGUUCAUACUUAAUUUGAUUAAAUGAACUUAAUUGUCAUGAACUUAGUCUAAAAGUUGUCUUUAUAAAUAUUGUAGAUGGCCAACGUCAACCUCAAUUUCAACGCAUUCCUAGAGAAAAACAAGCUGAAAGAUGAUGGUAGCAACUAUGCGGACUGGGUUCGCAACUUGAAGCUCAUCCUUGAAGCAGCUAAAAAGGCUUGUGUCCUUGAUGCGCCGCUAGGUGACCCUCCCGCUCCCGCAGCAGCCGAGGACAUUCUGAACGUCUGGCAAGCGCGGAGUGAUGACUACUCUCUCGUUAGGUGUGGCAUGUUAUAUAGUUUAGAAACGGGGCUCCAAAGGCGUUUUGAGCAACACGAAGCAUAUGAGAUCUUCCAAGAGCUAAAGCUAGUUUUUCAAGCUCAUGCCCGUGUCGAGAGAUAUGAAGUCUCCGACAAGUUCUUUAGAUGUAAGAUGGAGGAGAACAGUUAUGUCAGUGUGCACAUACUCAAAAUGUCUGGGUUACACGAUCGUCUGACUUCACUUGAAGUCGAACUUCCGGAUGAUGCUAUAAUUGACAGAAUCCUCUAGUCUCUCCCACCAAGCUACAAAGGCUUUGUGCUUAACUACAACAUGCAAGGGAUGGAGAAGACCAUUCCCGAGUUGUACUCGAUGCUCAAGUAUGCAGAAGUAGAAAUCAAGAAAGAGCAUCAAGUGUUGAUGGUCAACAAGACCACUAGUUUCAAGAAAGGCAAGGGUAAGAAGAACUUCAAGAAAGACGGCAAAGCUGUUGCCGCGCCCGGUAAGCCAGAUGCCGGGAAGAGGAAAAAGAAUGGACCCAAGCCUGAGACUGAGUGCUUCUAUUGCAAGGGAAAGGGUCACUGGAAGCGGAACUGCCCCAAAUACUUAGCGGACAAGAAGGCCGGCAACGUUAAAGGUAUAUGUGAUAACAUGUUAUUGAUGUGUACCUUACCAGCGCUCGUAGUAGCUCCUGGGUAUUUGAUACCGGUGAUGUUGCUCACAUUUGCAACUCAAAGCAGGAACUGCGGAAUAAGCGGAGACUGGCCAAGGACGAGGUGACGAUGCGCGUCGGAAAUGGUUCAAAGGUCGAUGUGAUCGCCGUCGGCACGCUACCUCUAGAUCUACCGUCGGCAUUAGUCUUAAACCUUAAUAAUUGUUAUUUAGUACCAGCUUUAAGCAUGGACAUUGUAUCAGGGUCUUGCUUAAUGCGAGACGGCUAAUCAUUUAAGUCAGAGAAUAUUGGUUGUUCUAUUUAUAUGAGUGAUAUGUUUUAUGAUCAUGCUCCGCUGGUGAAUGGUUUAUUCUUGAUGAAUCUCGAUCGUGAUGUUACACAUAUUCAUAGUGUGAGUACCAAAAGAUGUAAAGUUGAUAAUGAUAGUCCCACAUACUUGUGGCACUGCCGCCUUGGUCAUAUCGGCGUUAAGCGCAUGAAGAAGCUCCAUACUGAUGGACUAUUAGAGUCUCUUGACUUUGAAUCAUUUGACACAUGCGAACCGUGCCUCAUGGGCAAGAUGACUAAGACUCCAUUCUCAGGAAUAAUGGAGAGAGCAACCGACUUAUUGGAAAUAAUACAUACUGAUGUGUGUGGUCCAAUGAACGUUGAAGCUCGCGGUGGCUGUCGUUAUGUUCUCACUCUCACCGAUGAUUUGAGUAGGUAUGGGUAUAUCUACUUGAUGAAGCACAAAUCUGAGACAUUUGAAAAUUUCAAGGAAUUUCAGAGUGAGGUCGAGAAUCAACGUGACAGAAAAAUCAAGUGUCUACGAUCUGAUCGUGAAGGAGAAUAUUUGAGUCACGAGUUUGGCACACACCUAAGGAAGUGUGGAAUCGUUUCACAACUAACGCCGCCUGGCACACCGCAACGCAACGGAGUGUGUGAACAUCGUAAUCGCACUUUAUUAGAUAUGGUACGAUCUAUGAUGUCUCUUACCGACUUACCACUAUCAUUUUGGGGAUAUGCAUUAGAAACUGCAGCAUUCACUUUAAAUAGGGUACCGUCUAAAUCCGUUGAGACGACACCGUAUGAACUAUGGUUUGGCAAGAAACCUAAGUUAUCGUUUCUUAAAGUUUGGGGCUGCGAUGCUUAUAUGAAGAAACUUCAACCAGAAAAGCUCGAACCCAAAGCGGAUAAAUGCGUAUUCAUAGGAUACCCUAAAGGAACUAUUGGGUAUACCUUCUAUCUUAGAUCCGAAGGUAAAACCUUUGUUGCCAAGAACGGAUCCUUUCUAGAGAAAGAGUUUUCUCGAAAGAAGUAAGUGGGAGGAAGGUAGAACUUGAUGAGGUAAUUACACCCCCUCUCGAACAGGAUAGUAGCGCAGCGCGGGAAGUUGUUCCUGUGGCGCCUACACCAACUGAGGAGGAAGUUAAUGAUGAUGAUCAUGAAGCUUCGAAUCAAGUUACUACUGAACCGCGAAGGUCCACAAGGGCACGCUCUGCACCAGAGUGGUACGACAACCCUGUGGUGGAGAUCAUGUUGUUAGACAACCGUGAACCUUCGAACAAUGAAGAAGCGAUGGCGGCCCGGAUUCCAACAAAUGGCUUGAGGCUAUGAAAUCCGAGAUAGGAUCCAUGUAUGAGAACAAAGUAUGGACUUUGGUGGACUUGCCUGAUGACCGGCGAGCCAUAGAAAAUAAAUGGAUCUUCAAGAAGAAGACUGAUGCAAACGGUAAUGUAACCGUUUACAAAGCUCGACUUGUCGCAAAGGUUUUUCGAGAAAUUCAAGGAGUUAACUACGAAGAGACUUUCUCUCCCGUAGCGAAGCUGAAAUCAGUCUAAAUCAUGUUAGCAAUUGCCGCCUUUUAUGAUUAUGAAAUUUGGCAAAUGGACGUCAAAACAGCGUUCCUUAACGGGAACCUUAAGGAAGAGUUGUAUAUGAUGCAACCAGAAGGUUUUGUCGACCCUAAGGGUGCUAACAAAGUGUGCAAGCUCCAGUGCUCCAUCUAUGGGCUGGUGCAAGCAUCUCCGAGUUGGAACAUUCGCUUUAAUGAGGUGAUUAAAGCGUUUGGGUUCAUACAGGUUUACGGAGAAACCUGUCUGUAUGAGAAAGUGAGUGGGAGCUCUGUAGCUUUCCUCAUACUGUAUGUGGAUGACAUAUUAUUGAUGGGGAAUAAUAUAGAGAUGUUGGAGAGCAUAAAGGCCUAUUUGAACAAGAGUUUUUCAAUGAAGGACCUUGGAGAAGCUGCAUACAUAUUAGGCAUCAAGAUCUAUAGAGAUCGAUCGAGACGCCUCAUAGGUCUUUCGCAAAGCACAUACCUUGACAAGAUAUUGAAGAAGUUCAAUAUGGAUAACUCAAAGAAAGGGUUCUUGCCAGUUUUGCAAGGUAUGAGAUUGAGUAAGACUCAGUCGCUGACCACGGCAGCAGAAAGAGAGAAGAUGAGUUAUGUCCCCUACGCUUCAGCCGUGGGCUCUCUAAUGUAUGCCAUGCUGUGUACCAGACCUGAUAUAAACCUUGCCAUAAGUUUGGUAGGGAGGUACCAAAGUGAUUCCGGUAUGGAACACUGGACAGCGGUCAAGAAUAUCCUUAAGUACCUGAAAAGGACUAAGGAAAUGUUUCUCGUUUAUGGAGGUGACGAAGAGCUCGUCGUAAAGGGUUACGUCGACGCUAGCUUCGACACAGAUCCGGGUGACUCUAAGUCACAGACCGGAUACGUAUAUGUGUUGAAUGGUGGGGUAGUGAGCUAGUGCAGCAGCAAGCAAGAAGUCGUGGCAGCAUCUACAUGUGAAGCGGAGUACAUAGCUGCUUCAGAAGCAACUCAUGAAGGAAUUUGGAUGAAGGAGCUCAUCACCGACCUUGGAGUGGUUCCAAGCGCGUCGGGUCCAAUGACACUCUUCUGUGAUAACACUGGGGCCAUUGCCAUAGCCAAGGAGCCCAGGUUUCACUGGAAGACGAAGCACAUCAAAUGCCGCUACAACUCCAUCCAGGACCAUGACCAGAGUGGAGUGAUAGAUAUUUGUAAAGUACACACGGAUCUGAAUGUUGCAGACCCGUUGACUAAACCUCUUCCACGAGCAAAACAUGAUCAACACCAUAAUGCUAUGGGUGUUCAAUACAUCACAAUGUAACUAGAUUAUUGACUCUAGUGCAAGUGGGAGACUGUUGGAAAUAUGCCCUAGAGGCAAUAAUAAAAUGGUUAUUAUCAUAUUUCCUUGUUCAUGAUAAUCGUCUAUUGUUCAUGCUAUAAUUGUAUUAAGAGGAAAGAGUAAUACACGUGUGAAUAAAUCGAUCACAAUGUGUCCGUAGCAAGCCUCUAGUUAGCUAGCUCGUUAGUCAAUAGAUUAUCAUGGUUUCCUGAUCAUGGGCAUUAGAUGUCAUUGAUGACGGGAUCACAUCAUUGGAGAAUGAUGUGAUGGACAAGACCCAAUCCUAAGCAUAGCACUAGAUCGUAUUGUUCAUAUGCUAAAGCUUUUCUAAUGUCAAGUGUCUUUUCCUUCGACCGUGAGAUUGUGCAACUCCCGGAUACCGUAGGAGUGCUUUGGGUGUAUCAAACGUCACAACGUAACUGGGUGACUAUAAAGGUGCACUACGGGUACCUCUGAAAGUGUCUUUUGGGUUGGUACGAAUCGAGAUCGGGAUUUGUCACUCCGUGUGACAGAGAGGUAUCUCUGGGCCCACUCAGUAGAACAUCAUCAUGAGCUCAAUGUGACUAAGGAGUUAGUCACACGAUGACGUGCUACGGAACGAGUAAAGAGACUUACCGGUCACGAGAUUGAACAAGGUAUAGGUAUACCGACGAUCGAAUCUCGAGCAAGUUCUAUACCGACAGACAAAGGGAAUCGUAUACGGGAUUGAUUGAAUCCUUGACAUCAUGGUUCAUCCGAUGUGAUCACUGUGGAGCAAGUGGGAGACACCAUGGGUAUCUAGACCCCGCUGAUGGUUAUUGGCCGGAGAGGCGUCUCGGUCAUGUCUGCUUUUCUCCCGAACCCGUAGGGUCUACACACUUAAGGUCCGAUGACGCUAGGGUUAUAGGGAAUUGUUAUACGAGGUUACCGAAAGUUGUUCGGAGUCCCAGAUGAGAUCCCGGACAUCACGAGGAGCUCCGUAAUGGUCCGGAGGUAAAGAUUGAUAUAUAGGACGGAUGGUUUCGGACACCGGAAGUCUUUCGGGCAUCAUCGGUAACGUACCGGGACCACCGGGACCACCGAAGGGGGCAACGACCCCGGGAGGUAAGAUGGGCCGAGUGGGGAAGGGAACCACCCCUAGGUGGGCUGGUGCGCCUCGCCACUCUGCCCAAUGCGCAGGGGAGAGAGAAGGGGGGGGCAAACCCUAAGCCAGGUGGGCCUAAGGCCCACCAGGUGGUGCGCCACCCCCUCCCACCCUAGCCGCCACCCCCCUUUCCCAUCUGGUGGCUGCCGCACCACCUAGGGGGUAACCCUAGGGGUGGUGCACUCCCUCCACCUCCUCCUAUAAAUAGAGAGGGGUUUUGGCCCUUGGGAGAUAGACUUUUCCCUCUCUCUCAGCGCAGCCCUGCCCUUCUUCCUCCUCCUCUUUGUCGGUGCUUGGCGAAGCCCUGCCGGGAGACCUCGUCUCUCCAUCGACACCAUGCCGUCGUGCUGCUGGAGUUCUUCCCCAGCCUCUCCCUCCUGCUUGCUGGAUCAAGGUGCGGGAGACGUCACCGGGCUGCACGUGUGUUGAACGCGGAGGUGCCGUAGUUUGGCACUAGAUCGGAAUCGCUGCGAGUACGACUCCAUCAACCGCAUUCUAGCAACGCUUACACUUAGCGAUCUUCAAAGGUAUGAAGAUGCUCUUACCCCUCUCUCGUUGCUGGUCUCUCCAUAGGAAGAUCUGAAUAUGCGUAGGAAAAUUUUGAAUUUAUGCUACGUAACCCAACAGAGUGAUCGUGCGUGGAUGUACACGGGUCACCCUAGUCAGAAAGAGAUGAUGAAAGAAUGGUUUCUAAAAACCAAGGAGUUUGUGAAAGCCGCAUUUGCAAAUGUGCAGGAAACAAACUGGUGCCCUUGUCCUGAAUGCGACAACUAUAACAAAAGGACAGAUGCUGUAAUGAUUAAACACCUGCAGAGGAGGGGUUUUAAGCCUAAUUAUACGGUUUGGACAUUUCUUGGUGACUCUAUACAACGCACUAGAGCUGAGGUGGUUCAUCGUCGCACCGACGAGCAUGGUACCGGGAUCGAAGACAUGGUGCAAGACUUUGAUGAUGCUCGGGAUUCGGCAGAUGAGAUGGAGGAAUCUGCAAAGGCCUUCUAUGAAAUGUUGGAGUCUUCAAAACGUCCUCUCCAUGAGCACACUGAGCUUUGUCAGUUGGAUGCCAUUGCACAAGUAAUGGCUCUGAAGGCUCAGUUCAACUUGGGAAGAGAAUCCUAUGACGCGAUGAUGACACUAUUUGGACGCUUUCUACCCAAAGGCCAUGUCAUGCCUGCAAAACUAUACCAGUCAGACAAAAUACUUCGUGUACUUAAGAUGCCCUAUGAGAAGAUACAUGCAUGUGAGAAAGGAUGUGUCUUAUUUAGGAAGGAGUAUGCACACUUGGACUAUUGUCCCAAUUGGAAGUCUUGCAGGUAUCUUGUGGCAGACAACGGUAUGGGUGAGAAGAGGCUGACCAAAGUUGCAGUUAGUGUUCUUCCGUAUAUGCCAAUCAUACCAAGGCUUCAACAUCUUUUGAUGGUCGAAGAGACAGCCAGAUAGAUGACAUGGCACAAAAUGGGCAAAAGAAUCGACCUAGAUGCGGAUGGGAAUAAGAUGGCAGUACACACAUUGGAUGGGGAAGCUUGGAAACAUUUUGAUGGAUUGCAUCACGAUAAAGCGGCAGAUCCGAGGAAUCCUCGAGUCUGCAUCGCCACAGAUGGUUUUAAUCCCUUCAGCAUGACGGCAACCCAAUACAAUAGUUGGCAUGUAUUUGUCAUUCCACUCAAUCUCCCCCCGGGCAGAUUAUGCAAAGAAAGAACAUAUUUCUAACAUUGAUAAUUCCAGGGCCCAAUUAUCGGGGGAAGAAUAUGAAUGUGUACAUGCAGCCGCUUAAGGAUGAAUUGCAAGAAGCUUGGGACAAUGGGGUCAAGACAUACGAUGCCGCUAGAAAAGAGAACUUCAAAAUGCAUGUGUGGUACAUGUACUCUAUGCAAGACUUGUCGGCGUAUGCGCUAUUCUACGGAUGGUGCGUGCAUGGAAGGUUCCCGUGCCCCACAUUCAAGGCAGCUCUUCAGUUUCAUUGGUUGCAGGAGGGUCAGAAGUAUUCUUGCUUUGACUUGCAUAGACAGUUCCUAGAUCCUGGCCAUCAAUUCAGAAAAGACAAGAAGAACUUUACCAAAGGUAAAGUUGUCAAAAACUUGGCACCACCUGUGUUGACAGGCCAACAGAUCCUGGAUCAGUUAAACGCCCUCGAGCCUGAUCCAAAGCGUCCAGGGUAUUUCAAGGGGUAUAAUUCAAAACACGCCUGGACUCACAAGCCAUGCUUGUGGGAUCUGCCUUACUUCAAAGACCUCCUUCUUCCACACAAUAUCGACAUGAUGCACACCGAAAAGAAUAUCAGAGAGGCUAUUUUUGGUACAUUGUUCGACAUAGAUGGGAAGACAAAGGAUAAUACUAAGGCUAGAGUCAAUCAAGAGACACUAUGUCACAGACCGUUACAAAACAUGCGAGAAGGCAAAGGAAAGCAGAAGUGGUCGAAGCCAAAGGACUGGUUCAAUCUUGGAAGGCCAGCUAUGAGGGAAAUUAUAUUGUGGGUCAAAAUGCACUUGAUGUUCCCCGAUGGGUAUGCAGCGAAUCUAAAGAGGGGAGCGAGUCUUGAAAAAAAUAAAAAUCUUGGUCUCAAGAGUCAUGAUUGGCACAUAUGGCUUGAGCGGGUAAUGCCGGUGAUGUUACGUGGCUUUAUUCCUGAGGAUGAAUGGCUAGUACUGGCGGAGCUGAGCUAUUUCUUCCGUGUUAUUUGUGAGAAAGAAUUGUCUCCUAGCGUGGUAGAUGACAUGGAAGAGUUUGCACCGGAGUUUCUAUGCAAGUUAGAGAAGAUCUUUCCGCCGGGCUUCUUUAAUCCAAUGCAGCAUUUGAUUUUACAUCUACCGACCGAGGCAAGAUUGGGUGGGCCCGUGCAAAAUUAUUGGUUCUAUGCAACUGAGAGGAUGCAGAAGACGCUUCGAGCUAAAUGUAAAAAUAAGCGUAGAGUUGAAGCAUCGAUGGUUAAGGCAUUCAUUACUGAGGAGGUGGCAAACUUUGUGACAGCACACUAGGAAGCCAAAUAUCAUCAUUUGCAUAAUCCGUAGCCUCGGUACAAUGAUGAAGACCCUAAAAGGGGUGGAUCUAACCUCAGCCUAUUCAAAGGGAAGCUCGCACCAGCUGGUGCUUCGAAACCAAUAACGUUGGAUGUCGAAGAAUGGCGAAACAUUUCGUUGUAUAUCUUCAACAACCUAACAGAAGUGCGGUUGUACAUCGAGUAAGUUCUCGACACAUUUUUUCAUAACUUCUAAUUCCUUUGAACUGCUCUUAUUCCUGGAUAUUUCAUACAGCCGAUACGUUGCCAAAUUCUCGGAUGGAGUGGUGACCCAAAAUGAUUUCGUCGAAGAGUAUGAGCUUCUAGCAAAUCAUGGAGGCGGCUAUCCCGGUUUCAUCUCUUGGUUCAAACAAACGGUAAUUAUCAAUAAUGGACCAUUUCAUUUCUUGGUCUAACUUUCGGCUAAUGCAACAAUCAUUUCGUAUUAAACUUGUAGGCUAAUUCAGAGUCUAUGGCCGCCGAGUUGAGACAAGCCGCUAAUGGUUUUGACUAUAAGGUCCAUUCAUUUGAGAAAUACAACAUCAAAGGGUAUCUCUUUGGUACCUUUCGCAAAGAGCUAUCUAUGCCCGACCGGAAAUCUACCAAUUGUGGUGUCUCUGCUAUCGGCAAAGGCGGUCUCGAGUAUUAUGGAAGGGUUGAAGCAAUUUAUGAACUUCAAUUAUAUGGUGAAAACCCACCGAACGUCGUAGUCUUGAAAUGUUCUUGGUUCCAUCCAAAGGAGACUACAAGGACUCAUGAACAUAUAGGACUAGUCAAAAUCUAUCCAAACACCCAUUUAGAUGUUCCCGAUGUCUAUAUUACGGCUCAACACGCGACCCAAGUUUUCUAUCUACCAUGGGCAUGCCAAACUGAUAAGAAUCUGGAAGGUUGGUAUGUUGUUUAUGAAGUGCAGCCACGUGUUAAACCAUCUCCCCCAAAUGAACAAGAUUAUGAACCUCACAUUAACUCAAACACAUAUGAUGGAGAAUUCUUCCAAGAAACACCUAUUUCCAAGAAACGUUUCAAGAACCGCCAUGCUUCACCCCAGAACAUGGAAGUAGACAACGACAAUGAAUCCAACUUCACCCCUGAGACGGAACCAACAGAGCUGGAACUAGAAGAGGUUACUGAUGGGAUGACCUGUCAAUGCUUGACUGAUUACAGAAACGCCUUCCACAACUUCAUUCGUUCAACCCGAUGAGCAUGUCAUUCAUGAAGAAAUGCGUGAUAGUGAUGAUGAUGAUGCAUUUAUUGAUGAUGAUUAUUAGUUUGUAAGAUUCCCAACUUAAAUUAUAUAUGUACGUAUUAUUAUUCAUGUGAGUUAUUCAAUUUUUUUAUGUUGUACUAAUUUAUUUUAAUCUUUAUCAUGGCAGGUCAGCAUGUGUUGAAAGAUGGUGGGCGCGGGUCUAGAUCGCUCAACAGGUUCUUCUUCGGCGGCCCGCACGAGGGGUGGUACUUCCAUUCCACCCCUAUGUCUCCGUAGAGCCUUUCCAGUCAGUCUGACGACACCACCCACGGGUGCUUCUUCGUCGGCGGCAUUGCCCACUGGGAGAGGUGCUGGCCGGGCAGGGAAGAAGGGGAAGGGUAUAGGGAGAGGUGGUGGCCGCGGAAGAGGUAGGCGGACUGUUGCGCCGUCCUCGUCACCACCACCAGCUCAUUCAUCCGAGCACAGGACUACUAUGGUGGACCCGUUUGCGGAGGAGGCUACGGGGACUCUAGUCUAGGAGCCUCGGGUGGACGGGCAUUCGGACCAUGAGACUCCGGUCCAGGAUUAGCCUCGGGUCGAGGUGCCUUCGGCCCACGAGACUCCGGUUCCUGAGGCUACGUCCUUGGAGACUUCUGCCACACACGCUUCGGCCGGCGUGGAGACGUCCGGAUGGGGUGCCUGGUCGGAUCGGACCGAGGUGCCGGAUUGGACCGAGGGUCCGAGUGGCUAUUCUGUUGAUGGCGGGGAUGAGUCUACGGAUAGUGAGGGUGACGUGCAGGUGGACGGGGCCACCGUGUACAGGCAUGGUAGUAUACGUCUCCCAGUCGCGUCGGCUACCAGCGAGCAGAGGCCGGUGAUUAAGCGUGAAGGGGAUAGGUAAGUACGUUUACUCUUUUUUUAGCUGCUGCCUUCAAGUUCCUUCAAAUAUCUAAUGCGUUGACCUUAUCAUACAGCAGGGGCUGGAAACACCCUGGUGGAGUCGACAAGCCAAACAGCAUCCUUGGUGUGCUUUGUCGGACAAAUUUCUCGGGGUUUGUCACGUUGCCUGGUGAGGGUCAGGUUCCUACACUAGGAUUUUCCUCGGAGCACUACCAGGCUGUGCAGGCCCCGUCGGAGGACAUUAUAGAUGGUGCCUUGUGCCACACGAGGGCCGAUAUGAUGAUCAACAACUUUUGGGCAAAUUAUCCUUUUACACAAUCUAAAAUUAACAAUAUAGCUAAUUAUUGUACUAAUCGGUGUUGUCUCGUUUGAUUGCAGACCUUCUAUACGUGUGAGGAGGAGGCGGCCAAGGUUAUCAAGGCCGAGUGUAGGCGGUUAUUACAGAAUUUACGCCACAAGGCUCGGCCGCGGGCCAUUCGAGACUACUAUGCCACGAUUGGUAUUAAGAAGCAGAAGAAGGAGUGCCGCGGAAAGUAUCUGAAGGAGGAGUACAUGAAGGUAAUUACCUAUUCUUAAGGCCUUGUAUGUAGUUUUCUUGAUUUGAUUCAUAGGUGUAGCGCUCAAAAUUCGAGCCGACCACGACAAUGCAAAGGAUCAGCGUAGCAAAAUGGUUGGUGUGCCACACCAUCAAGGGAGCGCCAACUUACUUCAGUUCGGACGAAACUGGGUAUGUGGUUUGCUUCAUGAUUCAUGCAAUUCAUUCUUCAUGCUAGCUUGAGCCCCUUACUAAUACUUUGUUCCUCUCUUUUAGGCGCACCAUAAUAAGAUGGAGAUGCCAAAGUUCUACGACCUUUAUGGCAUGGCCCAUACCGCCUCGUACAAGAAGGUGAAGGCAUUCUGUGAGUCUAACCUGGAUGAUCCAAAUAACUUCACCAGCAUCUCAUCCCACCACAAGCUCAUGAAAUACAGGUACACAGGAAAGGCUUGGAAAGGGGAGGACUUUAACCCAAGCCAGGAACCUUUGGAUCCAGAGCUCGUGAUGAUAUCUGGUGGCGGGAGGCCCCAUGGCUCGAUAGCCAUUGGAGAUGGGAUAAUACGUUGUCCACUCACUCUCCCGGAGAUCAAGGCGCGCCAGUCAAGCUCCUGUCCUAAGAUAACGCCUGGUCCACGGGCAGUCGAUCUUGCCAUCGAGGUUAGUUGUACGGACUCAGAAAACUUCCAUCCAUUUCAUUGUGUGUGUGCCAUCGAUCAUUACUGUGGUAGCGAGGAAUGGUGUUGCAGGUUGCUCUUAAGAAAGAGAGAGUGGCAAACGAAGCUGCUCUUGAGAAAGAGAGAGCCGCAAGCCAGGCUGCUCUUGAGGAGAGAGACCAGACCACAGCUCGGUUGAUUGAGGGGGAGAGGGCCCGCAAUGAGGUGGCUCACCUCGUCAUGUACGAGCUUAUUGUGGUAAGUUUCUUUUUCACAUUAGCCAAAUCAUGUGUGUAAUGUAUGCUUCAUUACUAACUAAUACGACUGACUCUUCAAAACCGAAUGUGCAGUCUAUGUACGAGAAUACCGGUCAAGCCCCUUCACCGAUGCCCAUCUUCUGUGCGAUUGGCACGGUGAGUUUCAUAUCAAUGGUCAUUAUAAACUAGUAUUAACAAUUGAGUGUCAUCAUGCUAACCGAGACAUUGCAAAAUAUCUUUUCUGCAGAAUAACUCCCGAGAGGCAUCGCACGACCCUUCUCCAGGGCAACUGUCUCCAAACGAAGCCGACGCAAGGACCCUGGUGUUUCUCCUCCUUCAUGACCAAUGUGGUAAGUUUUCUCCAAAAUGACAAAAUAAGCUCCUACUUGAUUUCUACUAGGAAAAAUAGUUAGUGAAACCACUAGGUUCAUAACUUAGCUAAUUUAGCUCCAAAAUGGUUAGUGAAACCACUAGUCUCAUAACUUAGCUAAUUUAGCUCCAAAAUGACAUAAUAAGCUCGAUUGAAAUAGUAAAAAUGAAAAGAAGAAAUAAGAAGAAGAAGAGAAGNNNNNNNNNNNNNNNNNNNNNNNNNNNNNNNNNNNNNNNNNNNNNNNNNNNNNNNNNNNNNNNNNNNNNNNNNNNNNNNNNNNNNNNNNNNNNNNNNNNNNNNNNNNNNNNNNNNNNNNNNNNNNNNNNNNNNNNNNNNNNNNNNNNNNNNNNNNNNNNNNNNNNNNNNNNNNNNNNNNNNNNNNNNNNNNNNNNNNNNNNNNNNNNNNNNNNNNNNNNNNNNNNNNNNNNNNNNNNNNNNNNNNNNNNNNNNNNNNNNNNNNNNNNCUUCUCCUCCUCCUCCUUAUUCUUCUUAUUCUUCUUCUCCUUCUUCUCUUCUUUCUUCUUCUCUUUCUUCUUAAAUUUAGCUUAUUUUCCCCAACAAAGACAUACUUAGCUAAUUAUCCUCCAAAAUGACAUAAUUAGCUUAGUUAGGCAAAAACAUCAUAAGAACCUUGGUUAGCUCAUUAAAAUGACUAAUUAAGCUCCUAAAAGACAUUAUAAGCUCAAAAUGGCAUAAGAACCUUGGUUAGCUCAUUAAUAUUAUAUACUUAGCUUGUUUUCCUCUAUAAUGACAUAAUUUGCCCAUUUAGCUCNUCAAAAUGAUAUAAUUAGCUUAGUUAGGUAAAAACAUCAUAAGGACCUUGGUUAGCUCAUUAAAAUGACUAAUUAAGAUCCUAAAAGACAUUAUAAGCUCCAAAUGGCAUAAGAACCUUGGUUAGCUCAUUAAUAUUAUAUACUUAGCUUGUUUUCCUCUAUAAUGACAUAAUUUGCCCAUUUAGCUCNGGAGUGCUUUAGUUCUAGUUUUCAUUUGAGUUGAUGAACAAUGUGGAACUAUAUGUAUAUGUAUAUAUGGAUGAAGAAUAUAUGUGGAACUACAUGUAUAUGUAAAUAUUGCUGAAACUUUGUUUAUGUUGGUUAUUUUGAUAUAUGCGAUGUACAUUGAUGAACAAAUGGCAUUGAUGAACUUUAUAUGUAUAUCAUAUAUGUGUUCUGACCUAUAUAUCAUAUCUGUGCUAUGAAUUAUAUAUAAAUAUAUUUCUUGUGUGUUUAGUAACUAGGCAAGAUGAGUGUGUUGGAAAUAUGCCCUAGAGGCGAUAAUAAAAUGGUUAUUAUCAUAUUUCCUUGUUCAUGAUAAUCGUCUAUUGUUCAUGCUAUAAUUGUAUUAACAGGAAACAGUAAUACAAGUGUGAAUAAAUAGAUCACAAUGUGUCCCUAGCAAGCCUCUAGUUAGCUAGCUCGUUAGUCAAUAGAUGAUCAUGGUUUCCUGAUCAUGGGCAUUAGAUGUCAUUGAUGACGGGAUCACAUCAUUGGAGAAUGAUGUGAUGGACAAGACCCAAUCCUAAGCAUAGCACUAGAUCAUAUUGUUGGUAUGCUAAAGCUUUUCUAAUGUCAAGUGUAUUUUAUUUCAACCGUGAGAUUGUGCAACUCCCGGAUACCGUAGGAGUGCUUUGGGUGUAUCAAACGUCACAACAUAACUGGGUGACUAUAAAGGUGCACUACGGGUACCUCCGAAAGUGUCUGUNGCGGAUGGCAAAGGCCUUUGCCAUCAGGCAGCUGAUGGCAAAGGUGCCACGUGGCACCCAGCUGUGCAACCUGGGCAGCAACAGUUGGCCGUAUGGGCUCUUUGUCGUCCGCUGCCUCGGGAGGCUAACGGCACAGCGGUAGGGAGGCAAACGGCAAAGAGUAUGAUCCCUGCGCUGGCCCAACUCUGUGCUGGCCAUAGAAGCAGAUGACAAAGAGGGGGAGGGACGCAGACGACAAAGAGAGGGAGGGAGGCAUACGACAAAGAGAGGGAGGAAGGAAGAUGGCAACUAGAGGGAGGAAGGCAAACGACAAAGCCUCUGUUAGCCCUAACGGAGGCGUUGCCUGUCGGCUGCCCUCUAAGCAUGUUUGUCGUCUGCUCUAUGCCAGAGGCUGACGGCAAAGACCUUUGCCAUCCGCUUAAGGAAGACUGACGACAAAGAAGGUGAUAUGUCGUCGAAAGUCAUCGUAGGAACAUUGCCGACAGGAGGCUGACGACAAAGACCUUUGCCGUCGGUGGAUCACCUCUUUGCCGUCUGUUAUGGCAGACGGCAAUGAGUCCGAUUCCUCUAGUGAUUGGUGCUAAAAAUGUGGUAUUGACCAUUAUUUAGUUGUUGAGGAUUGCUGUGAAAUCCAUACUGAUUGCUAUUUUGUUGAUUUCCUUGGUCAGAACGCUACCUAUUACCAGUAUUCUCUUGGUGCUGAUAUUCUAAUCUAGAACCGCCUGGUUCGUUAAAUCCGGACCCUAAGAAACCUCAAGACGAGCCGCCUUGCGGGCCAGGUUGUUCAUACUGACCCGAAUGUCCACCAUUAUCCCCAAGGUGGCAUUGAAAGGCUUGAUUUCUAAACUCCUGCAUGAUAUAGAAAUUUUCCCAUGAAUGAUUAGAUGGCUUAUCCUGAGUGCUAUCCUUUAGUCAAGGCGCCUUGAGGGCCUCCUCAUAGUUAUGUGGCUUAUUCCCUUAUAAGGUCCUUCGGAACGGCGCUGGUGUUUAAAUUCAGUGUUGGUAUUGGCCACAAAUUCUGAACUGCCCUCAGACUACCUCCGUUUAUUGUUGUGGUUUCCCUGGUUUCCACUUUGUUGGUUACCUUUGGCACCUUCUCCUUUCUUGCACUUGUCGGUCUUGUCCUCGUCUGACCCAGGGUCUUUCGUGCCACCUGACUCGGCGUACCUUGUCAGAACGUCCAUCAAGUCGCCCAUGUAUUGAGUCUUUCGCUUCAAACGACCCAACUUAAGCACCAAUGGCUGGAAAUGACAAUUCUUCUCCAGGUUUAGAACGGCUUGUGAGGCUAUUAUACUAUCCGAUGAAUCAAUUAUUUCUGCAACCGACGAGUCCAAUGAUGGGCUCACUCGCCCGUCCGCUGAACGUAAUGCUGGAGAUCCACAAUUGUCAUCGGGCGCUUGCAUGUUCCUUAGAAUUUUUUUACGAAUCGUUCCUUCAACUCCGCCCAAGUGUUGAUGGAAUUAGGUGGAUGUUUUUUAAGCCAAGUUAGGGCUGGCCCUUCUAACAUCAUCAUCACAUACUUUGCCCAUACCUCAUCACUGACGUCGAGCAUGUCCAUGGCUAGCUCGUAACUUCCAAUCCAUACCACCACCUCAAGAUCUGAUGUAUAGUUUGGCACAUUGCGCGGUCCUUUCAAGUCUUUGGGCAUGGGCUCGCUACGAAGAGCCAGAGAUAAGCAUGGAACACCGAUUGUCCUGGUGCUACUUCUGGCUCCAUGUGUUGCUUAUUGUGGUUCCGCUACAUGCGGUUGAGCCGCCCGCCUCAUGGCCGCUUCUGCCUCCACCUGACGGGCGGCUCUUGCCGCGUCCACCAAGUCUUAGGAAUUCUGAAAUCCUGGACCAGUCGGGGAAACCCAAAGCUGUUGUCGCCACACGUUACUGGAAACAGCCGAUGACUCCCCAUGGCGGAUGAUAUAAGGUGUGGAGUGCAUUCGAUCUCGACUGUAUGAGUACUGCACCUGUUGGGCCACUGCCAUCUUCAGCAUCUCAGUCGCGUUCCUAGCUUCAAUUUCCACCGGGGUGUUUCCAUGUAUAGGGAGCGACUCCAAGUGACGCAUUGCAGCCAACAUAUGGUCAACGGGGUUGGAAAAUAACCCUGUGGUGUGUAAAAAUGAUGUGGCCAUGCCUGAGCUGGUUGUGCCUUAGCCAGUUGUGCCUAAGCUGGUUGUGCCUCAUCUGGCUAUCCCUGAUCAUGCGGCGGGUUCCGUGCAGCGUGAGGACUGUGGGGACUAGCAAAUAGGAGCGUCGGUGUUACGUCUAGUGGUAACCAAGAUUGAUGUCUCCUCAAGUGAAUCGCCUCUUUUGUCUGUUAUCGAAGUCCAAGCUGCCACGCCUCUACCCGUAAAUGCUCCAACUCAUCACCGACUCGAUCCUGUGUCUCUGCAAACCGUAUGUUUUCAGUGUCGAUCUCUUUCUGAACCUUGAUCAUCUUUGUGCAGAGUUUUGCUAGUUCUGCAUUACGUUCUUCUCAGUUCUCGUUGAUUAUUGUAUCCUCCAAGAGAUUAGUCAUCUCGGCAUUCAGGUCACUCAUGGCUUGAGACAACGUUUUACUCGACCCACCAGCCUCAUUGGUGGCUCCUGCUGUAGCUGGAUCUGAUGAAGGCGCGACUCAAGCCAUGUAAAUAGUGACUUGCCAAGGUGGGUCAUCUGGCUCCGUCGUAGCUUCUUCCUCCAGAGCUUCCCCAAGCUCGUUACUAAGGGGAAAGAUGGAUCCGGUGUAUCUCAUGGAGGACUCGCCAUCAUGGUUGUCAUUGUCGAGGAUGUCCUCAACGUUUGCCGGUUCAUCCGCAAGGCUGAGCCCCUAGGUCAAUCCGACAAACAUGUGACGACUAUGUGUUUGGAAAUGACCGUGUCGGUCGCGCCGAGUCAGCUCGUUGACGGUGGUGUAUAUGUCCGACCCGAGCAUCCUUGCGCAGAUCUGACCGAAGGGGAUCUGCGAAUUAGUUUCUCCUAAGCCGACCUUAAAGCCCUAACCUAUGUUGUUGAUGUAGCGAUUGUUGCGAUGAUUCUUGAUCAUCUUGGCCACCGCGCGACUCCCAAAUCCCGGAAGAGUUCCCUCUGAGUACUCAACUCCACCUUGUGAUUGCCCCAUGGUGGGCGCCAACUGUCGUGGUUUUUUCGCGGCAGAUGUCCUCAUGAAUGGACUUAGUGGUGAGACCAUUGUCGUGAUGUGGGGACUCGAAGGGGUUGAUUGGGAAACAAAAGGCGGAUUUACCCAGCUUCAACCCCUCCGAUGGAGGUAAAAGCCUACGUCCUGCUUUGUGUUUGUAUUGAUGGCAAUCUCGAUUACAAGGGUGCGGAAUCGCUAACCUAGCUCUCGAGGGUUUCUAACUUGAUAUCUCUGGCUUGAGGGUCCUCCUUUAUAUAUAGGUAGAGGCCCCAAGUCUACAGUGAAGUCUCAGUCAAAUAAACAGUCGGGUGCUACUACAAAUCUACCUUAUCUUUCUUCCUAAGUGAGGAAAGCUUCUAGUGUCUCUUGCCAUGUUCAUCUUUGAGUCGCCGCCUUCUGGUGAUGGGCCACUUGGGGGCUUUGUCGACUAAGUCCGCCGGCCCAUAUUCUCAUCUUUUCCUUGCGGCUUGACCCGCCCUCAUAAGGCGGAUUAAAUCCUGGGGUUAUAUCCCCGACACUCGGGAAGAAAACUGGUCGGCGCAUACCGAGUUCAGAUCCGGAGCCCCCGUGAGGCUAACCUCGUGUGUUAGAAAAGGUAUUGACUGGGGAUCGGCCUUGGAGGUGAAUGCGCUAUAGAAGCACAUCACACAGAUGGGGGAGGCGAAUAUCAAGCUGACCAACGUGGUUCAGGUCAUGCUCCGCCGUUGCAUCCUUCCCUGCGAGCGUCGGGACACUCCAAUGUGGUCCUACAAGCUUGGUGACCCCAAGACCGUGCACCAGUUCUACCACACUACCCAUGAGAAAUUGUGGAGGGUGUUGUUCAAACCUCAACAGGAAUGGCCGGUCGAGGAAGAAGACGCCGGCUUUGAUGCCGAUCACCCUCCCUUGGAGGAAUAACUGAGCUUUUAUCUUAUUUAAAGCUUUAAUAUUUAGCAAGGAGCUUAUCCUUUCCACCAUCAUCCCUGUAGGGCUGGUUGAACAAGGCCGUGAAAAUAAACAACCCAGCCACCUACCUGAGGACCCCAGGUCGCCAUUGUUGAUCGUGAUGCUGGUGGUGGCGCCAUACACGACACUAGAGAAAAAAGAGAAAAAGAAAAGGGAGGCCCGCGGGGGUCUCCGCUCGAGGGGUCCUCCGGAUACCAAGUUCGGAGACACCCAUGCUUCCUCCACCUACGAGAAAGAGGAUGCACAUGACGGAGAGGAGAAAGAUUCCCUCCGAACAAGAAAGAGGACGGCGCUGGAGGAGGCCAAGGAGGGCUUGCCUCCUCAGGCCCGGAAGAGGCCCUACAGGAGCAAGGUCAUCCAUUCCGACGAUAUCUCAAAUUCUGAUGGGGACUCCGGGGCCUUUGAGAGGGUUCCCCGAAGGAACCCCAGGAUCAAGCCCUGUCGAAAGGUAUGGAAUCCAAACUUUAUUUAUUGGAAUUAUACUGAGCAUUUGUUAAUAAACAUACGUGCUCCUUUCCUUGACGCAGCCCUACCUGAAACCUCUUGACGAACCAGGUCUAAAAGGGGGGUUCACCACCGGCCAAGCUAGCGGAGAGCGGGAAUGUGUCCCGUACUACUCUCCCUUGGGCAUCGGACGAGGUUGCGGAGGUGAUAUCCCACCAGGCCCCUCCGAACAUGGGGGACGAGGUGGUGAUGGCCGAGGUUCAUACGUCGGCCACCGAAGAUCGAGAGGUCCCAGACAAAGUUCAUGCCUCGGUCACCGAAACCCAAGAGGUUGGCCCCCUCCUGACGAGUGGGGAGGGGGGCCGUGAUUCUUCUCAGCUUCCUCCGGAGGUAGCUCCAGGGACCUCUGAUCCUCUGAUGUCUUCAACGUUGCUUCUGAUGCCGCCUACGACAGAAGGGCUACGACCGAGUGGCCUGCAAUGAUGGAGGAGGCUUUAUCCAGCUCAUCCAUUGCCGAUGAACAUCGCACCCUUAUGGGUGCAAUCCUACAAAGCAUUCAGUCCGUUGACUGUGGACUGAAGGGAGCCUUCAGCGGUUUGCUGGCAGGCUUCAAGGUAAACCAUGUAGUGUUAGAUUUAUUUAUAAGGUUCUACAUGCCUUAUAGGUAUGACAGCCCCCAAGCCAUGGGUGAGUUGAAACACUUACCCAUGGAUGAAAAGAACUUAUAGACAUGAAUAAAAAUAGUUCGGGGACCCUUGAACUAUAAUAACUCAGGGAGGGGGGGUACUUUGACCAAAUGUCCUAGUCCCGUUAGCUCGGAUGCUUGUCAAUCCAGAACUUGUCUCGCAGGCCUCGUCCUUGGUUGUGGCCACCAACACCCUUGAACUUUCCGAACUAGACCGAAAACUCAAGGUUUCCGAUGAAGAACUCAGCCGUCUUAAUAGUAGGCUCGACGAGAAGCAGGGUAAGCUUGAUGUGUGCCAGUAAGACUCUUGUUGUACUUAACAAUUUAGUACUGUCUGGCUUUGGUAUAUGACAUAUUUAUUCCGAUUAUGUUAGCAUCUAUGGACGUGGAGUUAGAGAAACUCAAGGCCGAAUUGGAAAAGGCCAAGCAGGAGGCUGUCGCGCAUAAGAUGGUGGCCGAGCAGACAACUGCUGAACUAAGCUCGUUGAAGGUUGAGAGCAGCGGGCACAAGACUAGAGUGGCCGAGGUCUAUCAGGAGCUUCAAGAUGCGAGCGCUAAGAGCGAGGCCUUGGAACAAAAAUCCAAAGAACAAGCGGCCGAGCUAUCGGAGUUGUCCUCCGAGCUCAAUCAGAGCGGUUAGAGAGGCGCUUUUUCAAAGAAGAAGUGCGCCAAGCCAAGAAUAUUGCAGAUGGUAAGCCAUACUUACUGCAAUGUGCCUUUGGUGGAAACAUGUUUGCCUUUCUUACAUGGCUAUGGCGUUCCCCAGUCGGCUUUACGGACCUCCUGUGGAGUGCAGCACACACGGCCAAGCGCUAUGCGGCCCAAGAAGGGGACACCGAGCAGAGGCUUUUCUGGGCACAGUUUCAGACUCCCGAGCCCAAGCCCCUUCUCGUCUACUAGAUGAAAUAGCUCAUGGAGUUGCACAGGAUGGCAGAGCUGGCCAUGAAGGACCUCUGCAUCCGGUUGUGGCCUGCCAAGCCUCUUCCAAGCAGUUACUUCAGCUUAGUGCGGAAGUUGUACAACGACGUGCGUCAAAUCGAGGCCCUGAAGCGCUCUGUUUGCAUAGAGGGAGCUCGGAUGGCUUUUGCGAGGACCAUGAUGCACAGGCCAGGGGAGAAUCCCCUUACGAUGGCAACCGCACCUCCGCCUCUUGGAAAGGAGCACAGGCGUCCAAAGCUUUAUUUCUCUACCGCAGCGGAGGGUGCUCGGGCCAUAGAACUUUGGAUUUUUGUUCGAAGGCCUCGCUCUUGGUGCUCGCAUCUUGAAGCUCGGGUAAUUUUUGAGUGAGGAUAUCGUUGUCUGCCUUGGAACAAUUUAUUAUUAUGAAGCUUGUCCCACUGUAAUGCACUUUGUAUUAUUUUGACUGUUGUGUGGCCGUUUAAUCUCAAAGUUUCCAGUCGUCGGCUUCAUCCCCCAUGUAAAGACUACAAGGGGUGUUUCGACAUCUGCACUGUGACCCUUAGCCGAUAUAUCGGUGCCGGAGGCGGUAGUGUGUGAAGGAAAUGAGGGAAUCGGACUAUGCGACUUUAGUGCUUUCACUUAGCCUUAGGAGCUUGAAUUCGAGGGCUGACUACGAGUCUCCAUUUUUUUGUGGUAGUGGGAUGAACCAGAUUUUGAGACAUUUACCACAAGGUUUGCAAAGAAACAAACACCUCUAUAUGACACGGAAUAAAACCUCCAUCGGUCUUUCGUACUUAAGCUCGGAUUGCAGACCAGUUCUCGCUUAUUAUGACAGUCAGUUUUCGGCUUUCUCCACUGAGGUAUUUUAGCCAGGCUAGUUGGGAAUACAAUCGCAGUGGUUCUCCCUUUACCCCUUUAGCUGAACCAGUAGAACAUAAGGGGGUAAGAACAGGAGCGGGGCAACCCAAUUAUCGACCCAAGACAUGAUUCUGAACCGAUGCAUAUAAAGCAAUAUCAUAGAAACCGAACACUUAAAAAGUAGUGAUGGGGUAGUGCUCGGGGAAGUACUUUCAUCCAAGCCCCUGUCUAUUAGCCCAUCGCACUUGAUAUUUAUUGAACAAUUUUACCCAUCGACGCCAAUGAGCAGGAAACAUAUAUAUGUAAAGAUACUGUAAAAGAGUAUAUAAAUAGUAUUUGCUAGGAAUUUUUAUAAUUUGUGGCACCAAGGUAGUUGUUAUAGGUAACUAUUGUUUUGAACAACAUAUUUCAAAGCAACUUUCUUCCACACGACCUUCCAAGGGUGACUUGACGUUCGCCCUGCUUCUAGCUGCACAAUUUCUCCUAUGCUUUCUAUAAGGGAGGGGUAGUAUCCUUUAAUGGUGGUUGUUUUCUACAAACGGACCUUGAAUAGAUGGUCUUGAAAAGCUGUCGUGGUAUGGGUGAGCUUGAUGCUUGGGAGAUCCUUAAUGGUAUCUCAUUUUUUGUCCGUGAAUACGUUUGGACGUAGUUUGGUCGAACCGAACAUAUGGUCCUUGGUAGUGGAUCCCCACAGCUGCCCAUGGUAUUUUGAGAAUGAAAUUGUGUCUACGAGGGACAUACCUUAUGGGUGACCGGGCCAUGCCAUGGGGAGCGUAUCCCUAUUUUCUUUGAGACAGAGAUAUCUCCGGGGGAUCCGAUUGAGCUCGGGCUCGCUUGCUCGCCUACCACGCCUUGAUGGCUAGCUUGUGUCGUGCUGCUUCUUUUUUGUAUUAGCAUUCAGCUGCCAAGGUCGCUGUGUGCUCCUCGGUACGGAGGGAGCGUUCUGUGUUGUCGUUGAUGGUGAUAACUCCCCUGGGUCCGGCCAUUUUGAGCUUUAGGUAGGCGUAAUGGGGAAGAGCGUUGAAGCGGGCGAACACCGUGCGGCGGAGUAGUGGGUGAUACCUGCUGUAGAAGGUGACGAUGUUGAAGAUUAAGUCUUCGAUGCGGAAGUUGUAGGUCAGCCGAACACAACCUCCAGCAUUACCGUGUCGGAGCAGCGGGAUCACUCCUUUGAAGGUAGUGUUGCUGGGUUUGAUUCUUGAUGGGUCUAUGCCCAUCUUAUUUGUCGUAUCUGAGUAAAUCAGGUUAAGGCUACUUCCUUCGUCCUUAAGGACUCUAGUGUGGUGGUACCCAUAUAUGAUGAGGUCUACAACAAGGGCGGCCAGCCCUCCAUGACUGAUACUGGUCGGAUGAUCCCUACGGUCGAAGGUGAUCGGGAAAGCCGACCAUGGGUUGCACAUCGGGGUUAUGGGCUCUAUGGCAUAUACCUCCCAAAGGGCUUGCUUCGUCUCCUUCUUUGGUAUGUGAGUAAUGUAUAUCAUAUUCACGGUUUUCACCUCUAGGGGAACUGUUUUUGGCCCGAGUUGUUCGGAACGCGGGCUCUUCAUCAUCCUCGUUUCGUGGGCCCUUGCCUUGUUCGUCGGUUGCUACUUUGCCAACCUAUUUAAACACUCAACAGUUACGAUUUGUGUGGGUGGCGGUCUUGUCUUGGGUGCCAUGGAUCUAGAGAGGCCUUUACAUAAUACUAUCUAAUGUAGUCAGUCCAUUCCUGUUCCAUUUAAAUGGUUUCUUUCGCUGUCCGGGUUUUGAGCUGCGGAAGCCAGCAUUUAGGGUUGUGUCAACGGCGUCACCUUUACGGUGGCGGAGUUUGGUCUUGUUUUUCCUUGGCUUGCCAUUUCCAUCCUGAACUUUAGAGGUACCGGGGUCGUCCGCAUUAUGGUCGCGCCGAGCUAGAAAAUUGUCCUUGCCCGCGCAAAAGCGGAACAUGAGGGAAGUGAGAGCGGACAUUUUAUCGGCCUAUCCUCGCCGACCUGGCGAGCCAACCAUUCGUCCUGGGUAUUGUGCGUGAAGGAGGUUGUCGCAUUGUCAUCCGGACAAUCCACGAUCUAGUUCUUCUUUGUUAGGAACCUAUUCGAGAAUCCUAUGGCCGAUUCGCCCGCGUUUUGGAUGGCGUUGCUUAGGUUGGAGGAAUCCGGUGGUCGAACGUAAGUUCCCUGAAAAUUAGACAGGAAGGCUUCUUCAAGGUCUUACCAACAUCCGAUGGAAUUUUCAGGUAAGCUAUUUAGCCACUACCGUACUGGCCCUUUCAGCUUUAGGCGUAGUUACUUGAUGGCGUGGAGGUCAUCUCCCCUGGCCAUAUGAAUGUGGAGAAGGAAAUCUUCUAUUCACACGGCGGGGUCCGUAGUCCCGUCGUAUUGUUGUAUGUUCAUGGGUUCAAACCCUUCCGGGAAUUGGUGUUGCAUGACCUCAUUUGUAAAGCACAAUGGGUGGGCGACGCCUCUGACCCAGGCUAUACUGUGCCAGCGAUCGGCUGUUGGUUUUGCUCGGUACGAUUCUCGAUCUCUAUUGAUGUGGGUAAACCAAGGUUGGUCUCCGUCCCAUCGAGUGGGAGAGUACCUUCUAGAUCCAUACAUGGACCUAUUGCGACCUGUUCUGUUGUCCAAGUCGUGACGUAGGUCAUGUCUACCCCUGGGUUGCACAUGAUCCUUUCCCUUCCUGCUGGGAGGCUCGGGUCCAUACUCGGCUUCUCCGGCCGCUCUGUCACGCCCUCGAGGUUGGCAAUCGGGCUGAUCAUACUGGGUGCGCCUGGGGGACACGGGCUCUCGGGCCUCGUCAUCGAACUGAGGCAGCACGCGUCGGCGUGGGUACCUUUUGUUCUGAUCUAGCCACUCGGUGCCAUAUCCUUCUUUAUUUGCCAAUACUUUUGUCCAUCUAUUGUUUAUGGUGUCAUGUUUGGCUUGGAGCCGCUGUUGCUUCGCUUGGAGGCUGCGGGCGAUAGCUACGAGUUGUUGCUUGAACCGUUCCUGACCCUCAAGGUCCUCGAGAACUAUGAAGUCUUCGGCCUUUAUACUAUCUUUCGCGUCAUCACGAGGGAGGUAGUUGUCAUCAUCUGAAUCAUCGGGGUCGUCGGGAUCGGAUUGGCCCUCGGGCUUGUUCGGGAGCUCCGAGGUUGUCGGGGGUCCUCUGGGGUUGUAUUUUCCCCGGUGCCAUCUAUGGCCCCACUUACUUUGUUUGCCUUGGCUUGUUUACGCUACCUCUGGCGCUUUGAUUGCUUUUCCCUAGACUUAUCGUCAUUUUGUUUGGGGGUAUGAUCGCCAUUGUCGUCGGGUGUGUCCACCAUGUAGACGUCGUAAGUGGAGGUGGCAGCCCACCGCCCGGUAUUUACAGGGGCGGGGUCACCGGCCACAUCAUCCAUGUCUUCAACCUCCUCGAAGGCGUAAUCCAACAUGUCGGUUAAGACUUCGACGGUGGCAACCAAGUGGGUGGUGGGUGGGCUGUGAACUUCCUCAUAAUCCGCAUCCAAACUGAUCCGACUAUAGGUCGGGCUCGGGCCAUCCAUAGUUUUCAAUGACUGGAUCUGGUCAAGCGUCUCAUUUAACAUCGAGAGGUUGUCCUGGUCGAUUUCUUGAUGAUUUUAGGAGUUGACCUCCGUUUCUUCCGUGAGGGACGGGUAUUCAGGAAUGGCUGUUGCCUGGGUACUGAGAUUGGGUCCGGGCUCAAAGACAACUCUCUGACAAAGAGGGAACCGAGGUCAUGGCCGGGCAAGAGACCCGAAGUCAAGGCUUCAGGAUUUUGGGGUUCAUCGCACGAAGCCAUGAUCUUAGCAGGGAAAAGAUCUCCCGAGGAGUCGCUCAAGAAUUCAAGAUUCUCGAACCUUAUCUCCUGACUGGGGACGAAGCCUCCGAUCUAGCCAAGGCGGCCGAUCGGGUCGGCGCGCAGCGUGACGCUGCCGAACGCGAGAACCUGCCUUGGAACAAAGAUGUCCCUGUUUCCAAUUCGAUCGCUGAUGAUUACACGAGCCAUCAAUCCUUCCGGUGAACUAACAGGAGAACUCUCAAUGAAAGCACCAUUGUCGGUGUCAAAACUGGCGGAUCUCGGGUAGGGGCUCCUGAGAUGUGAACCUUGUAUGGAUGGGUUACACGGCACAAAGAGGACAAUGUUUACCCAGGUUCGGGCCCUCUUGAGGAGGUAAAACUCUAUGUCCUCCAUGAUUAUAUUGAUAUGUAUGAGGAUUAAAGAGUUGACCUACCUUGAGAUCGUAUGAGCUAAAACCCUAGAUGAGUCAACUUGUCUAUGAGGAUGAAACCCACUUGUUUAUAUAGACACCACGGGUUCCUCGGGUUAUAUACAACCGACCUCCAGCCGGGGAUAGAUGCGUCGAUCUGGAGUACUCAACUUGGAUGACACACCAGUCUUCGGAGCUUUCCUUCUUGAACACGAGGUCGUCACGUAGUCCGGUCUUCAACAAUAAGGCCCAUUAGGUCGGCCUCUAAUAAAUGAAUCGACCGCCCGAGGACUCCUUAGUCCCGGACUCCCCCAGUGGUGCCUAGUGGGGAGCCCUUAAGUCGGAUGAGGAUCUUCUUCGGGCACAAGAAAGCUAAUUUACGGAUAAAUUCCCUCAAAAUUCCAGCACGAUCGGAGUUAAGGAUCUCCAAGAAUUUAAGAAACAGUGAAGGGCAAGAAAACGAGAACGCCAAACAGAACAGAACAGAGAGGGAGAUCCAAUAUCAGAGGGGCUCUUGCCCCUCUGCAGCCAUGGAGGCCAUGGACCAGAGGGAGAACUCUCCUCCCAUCUAGGGGGGGCAAGGAAGAGGAGGGAGGGGGCUCUCAACCCCUCUCUUACGGUGGCACCGGAGUGCCACCGGGGCAAGGAGUGUGACGAUGAUCUACAUCAGCAAGCUUGCCGCCGUCAACACCAACUCCCCCCUCUAUGCAGCGGUGUAAGACCUCUUUUCCCGAUGUAACUCUCUAUUUAAACAUGGUGCUCAACACUACAUACUAUUUGCCAAUGAUACGUGGCUAUUCUAUAAUGUUUGAAUAGAUCCGUUUUGUCCUGCGGGUUAAUUGUGAUAUGAUUUUAUUGUGUUUAUAUGAUGUUGUCCUAAGGUGCCUUCUGUGAGGCGCACACGCGAAGGAUACAUGCUGGAGGGUUUGCAUUAUGUUCAUGAUUCGCUUAUAGUGGGUGGCGAGAGUGACAGAAACUUACAACCGAGUAAGGGAGUUGUCCGCACAUGGGAGUAAAGAGGACUUGAUGUUUAAUGCUAUGGUUGGGUUUACCUUAACGAUUUCUAGUAGUUGUGGAUGCUUGCUAGAGGUCUAAUCAUAAGUGCAUAUGAUCCAAGUACGGAAAGUGUGUUAGCAUAUGCCUCUCCCUCAUUGCACAUGAUAAGUAUCUAUCAUGUUAGAGGUCCAAUCAUAGUUUCAUACUUGUUCUAGGUAAAGUAAGUGUUUGCACGCAUAGAGUUGUAUCGAUGGUCGAUACAACUUGAGAGAAUAUUAGUUCUACCUUUAGCUCCUUGUUGGGUUCGACACUCUUGCUUAUCAAAAAGGGCUACAAACGAUUCCCUACACUUGUGGGUUAUCAGUGAGUAUCCUGGCGACACGAAGGCGAGCACAUGACUGGUGGCGACCUCGAUGAUCGCUCGGGUCAGAGAUGCCUGUGGCAUGGUCUCAUGUCCGUCCUCGUCAAGGACAAUGAUGUCGUUCCCCGGAGGUGGAAUUUCUUCAACAUGUGCGAUGGGGUCAAUGUGCAACAUUUCUACUUACGAACUGGCAUGCAUCCAGUCGGUCACCACCGGCACGAGAGGCAUGAAGUACAGCGCAGCUGGCUCAAGGGCCUGCACCGACAGUUGCAUGAAGGGUUGCAUAACCGGCUCUAGGGCCUGCAAUGGCAUGCUCUCAACACUAAUUUGGUGGUGGUAACAAUGACCUCGGUGACGCUGGUUCCAACCUCCAUCGAAGAGGCGAAGGUCGCACACUCGAUACUAGAAGCGGCGGAGUCUGCCAACACCAUGGCGGAGGUGGUGAGCAACGAAACGGCGGCAACGGUCAUCAUUAUGAAGAAGGCGAAGAAACGGAGAAAUCAUCUUUCGCCUCUAGUUCAUGUCGAUCUUGUUCUCUGCCGGGAAGAUUUUUCUCUAUUGAAAAGUGAUGUGUGUGAUAAUGUGCUAAAAGAAACAAAGAGCAAACUAGAGACAAAUAAAAAGAAUGAACAUAUGUAAUAUUUAUUGAUCAUGUUCAUGUAUACAUGCAAUCGGCACGAAAGCAUCCAAGAGAUGCGUCCAUUGGUGAAGGCGUCAAUCGAAAGGAGCAACCGACGCACAAUUGCAAAAAAUGGCAACCACACACAUGUUGCGGGAAUGUAGGGAUUCCUCUAACUAACCAUUGAGGUUAAUUUGGCUUAACACUCUGAAUUGCAUCACGUUUCUACCAUUAUUGUGCCGAAGUGCUAGGAUUUUGUCGUGGUUGUUCUCACAGUGAGGGUGCUCCUACUUGGCAAGGUACUAAGACUUGUUUCUUUUGCCUACAUGACAAGUCUAUUAAACACCUAUGUUAACUUUGAUGGUAGGUUUAAUCAUGCAACAUAGGCCAUAAAUCAAAUAGAUUCAAAACCUUACACCUCCCCCAUGUAGUGUGUGUAAUAUGUUCGACAACUCGCGACGGGGUGCCGACAAACAUUUUUCUGCAUGUAUUCUUGUGGGACUGCCAACAUUUAUGUUGGACUUUUGUUUCAUCAUGGAUGUCCAUGUAAUCUUCAGAUAAGAUCUAACCCAUCUUCCCAUGCAAGUAUCUCGGCCUUUCACUAUCCAUAAGGAAGCUCACGACGGCACAAUAUCAAGGCCUUGUGGAUCAUCUCGUAGCGCGCCUACCAUCUUGGAAGUCAGCAGGCCUUCCCAAGAGCGAUCACUUAUUGCUGGUACAAUCCGUUCUCUCGACAAUCCUGAUCCACUCAAUGUUGGCCCUUGAUCUGGCUCUAAAGACUUUGGUUGCCCUAAUCAAGAUAUGCCGCAAAUUCCUUUGGGUCGGCAAGGCAGAUGCGCGAGGAGGUGCAUGUGCGAUGGCCUGGGAGAGAGUGUGCACUCCUAGGUGCGUCAGACGCCUAGGUAUCCUUGACAUGUGAUGGAUGAAUGUGGCCCUUCGGGCCAAGUGGUUGUGGUUGAGUAGGUCUGACCAGGAUAAGCCUUGGUCGGAGUUCGCUUUCUCUGUGCCAAAGGAGUCCCGACAGUUAUUCCUGGCAGCGGUGCGAGGAGUCGUUGGCGAUGGGAGGAAUACAUUAUUCUGGGAGGGUAGAUGGCUUAGUGGUUACCGGAUGCAGGAGCUUGCGCCACGGAUUUGCGAGCAGAUUCCAGUAAGAACGAGGAGGUCAAGAACGGUGUAUGAGGCAAUCGUUGAGGAGAGAUAGGCCCGAGAUAUUGGGCCAGCGCUAGGCGAGGCAACCCUUGCGAAGUACCUGGGUAUCUGGCCCGGGGUUGCGGUGGUCUAGCUGGACGAGCAAUGUGAUGAUCGUUUCAUCUGGUUCUGUGAGAAGAACAAGAAGUUUUCGGCCAAAUCUGCCUAUGCAGCCAAGUUUGCAGGGCGAGAAGUCUCGCCCAUCUUGGAAUUCACAUGGCACUCACGGACCUCGCUUAGGUACAUAUUAAUUCUUCUCAUGGCUAGCAAUCAUGAACUGGUGCUGGACUUCAGAUAGAUUGGCACGAAGAGGCAGCCACACCAACACUCGUGCCCUUUUUGCAAUCAGCAUGAUGAGACGAUUGGCCAUCUACUUAUCGAGUGUCCUCUCCCACGGGAGGUAUGGGCAAAGUUCUUCUCCGCCCAAGGUAUUCUGCAUGGCGAGCCGCAACUAGGAGAGACACUGCACGGCUGAUACACUAGGCAGGGUAUGCAGGGAAAAAGUGCCAAGAUGGUUUGGACCAUAUGCCCCCUUGCCAUGUGGGAAAUAUGGAAGCAUAGAAAUGCCAUAGUCUUUGACGGAGAGAUGGCCUGCCCACGACAUGUUCUACGCUGGACCGCGAGUUAUAGCAUGGUGUGGAUGCAGACGGCUCUACUUCGAGGAAACCUGCAGGCAUUCUUCGUGGCAGCGCUGGAAUGGGCGCAUAGUGAGUAGUGUGUAUAACAUACUUGAGGUGGAGGGCGGCGUAACGCCAUGUAACCCCUGAUGUAACUAAACUGCGGAGGGCUCCCCCCUCUCCUUCCUUCUAUAAUAUAUGAUACGCACACUCGUGCGUAUUCGAUGAAAAAAGAAUCUAACCCAUCUUAGGCUGAUUUUUUUUUCUGCGAAACAAUAUUUUCUUUUGGUUAUGUUAAUAGUCUUAACUGUGUGCAUCAUCACGUUUUGCAGCAGUCAGACAUUUGUUCAAUGUGAUUGUAUCACCUUGAUAUAUCGAUUGAAUGAAAUUGUCUUUUAUUAGUAAAAAAUAGUUGUAUUGAAGUCAUCAUAACUUAAUCCCAUGGGGUAGAUGGUUAAAUGUUUUCACUUAACAAAAUAAUUUCUAGUGUGCCCAUAACUAGUGUAAUAGAUGGACAGAAAUAAAUAGACUGGAAAUGCCAUGAACAAGCCAUGAAUAGAAAAGGUUGGGUUUAUCUACAUCAGUUAUCAGUUUAGUGUGUUCUAUGUACUUGACAAUCCAAGAAUUAGCAAUAGAGCCCUCUGUAUUAAGAGUAUAUUUCAGUCAGUCCUCAACUGCUGUCCAUGUUAUUUACUAGUUCCGGUAGUGAUCUUAAGCAUCGUCUAUAAACUAUUACUUAGUCUAGACGUCCCUAUAGAGACCUAUCGGACAUCAAAGAAAAUCCAUUUUAAAGGAUACGCGGAUAGACUCGGUAAACCGCCGACAAUGAAGUGGCACCAACAAAUAUUUUAGUUUUAUAAAUCUGAAAGGAAUGUAUCUUUUCGAUAAAGGUCUGAAAAAGAAAAUAGGUACCUAUACUCAUCCAUGCAUAGGCAAGAAGUUUUCUUUAUGUGAAGCAUAUCUCUGAAAGGGCUUAUAAUAAUUUUGCUUGUGCACCUCAUACAACUCUACCUAAUAUAUACAUAUUCUCAAAUUUGUAAGAUAUCACUGACUUCUCUCAACCAUUGAAUAGGUCAUCAUUUUUCUUAACUUGCACGCAAUGUCCACGAAUUGAGUAAGCAUAUGCAUAACUAAGAGUCUACGCUGUUUCAUGGAGCCUAUCACAAACGACUGAAUGUUUAGUGGAAAAAUCUCUUGGGUGGAAUCCUAAACCCCUUGAAAAAUAUACUGAAAAAUAUAAUGGCAAUCACCAUGGGGCGUCGGCAGAUCACAGUCAUUAUAAUAACCGCUUGUACACCCAAAUACAACUCUACCUGGUAUAUGCAUAUUCUCAAAUUCGUAAUAUAUCACUGACUUCCCCACCGUCGAAUAGGUCACCAUUUUUCUUAACGUGCACACAAUGUCCAUGAAUUGAGUAAGUGUAUGGGUAACUAAGAGACCGCACUGUUACACAUAGCUUAAUCACAAACGGCUAAAUAUUUAUUGGGAAAAUCUCUUGGGUGGAACCCUAAACCCCUUGAAAAUCUAUUAUAUAAUUAAAACAAAAGACAAACAAGCCAUAUGUGUUCCCAUACAUUGAAUUAUCUUGACCGUAUUUUUAAAUAAUAACACAUGUGAUUUAAAAUAUGUAUUGUUACAUAUAAAUUUUAUCAUGAGCAAACAGUUUAUAGUGUCACGUAGCUCAUACUAAUAGUUCAAUAUGUCUCGAGUUCUUAAAGAAAAACUGGCAUGUCACUAGAAAUCAGUCUGAUACCUUAGGAUCUUUUUUUGCGGGUAAAACUGGGAAGCUUUAUUCAACACACAUCAUCCGGGCAUGAUCUUCGAGGAGACUAGUUAGAAGAAUAAUAGGACUAGAGUUCAACCAGCAAUCCGUUACCUCCAAUGUGCUAGCUUGCUUAGAACAUAAGUGGGCACACGUGCUAGCUGAUUUUGCAACAUUUUGAAUGAAAUACAAACUAAACAGUAAGGCGAGCUCUCCAUCUUAGUUAAGAUAUGCGUCAGCACAGUCCGAGUAUUGAGGCACGAAUACCAGAGAUUGACAAUCUUCAAACAAUCUGUCGCCACAACGACCUUCUCGUGACCCCGAAGCUUUGAAAAGAGGACCCCGUCUCGAACAGCCAAAGCUUCAGCGACAAACGGAUCGCUAAAACCAGGGUACGGUUUAGACCAAGCAGGCAUGAAGGAGGAACAGGCUCGGACAACACCACCCACCCCACCCACCCCUGCUAGCCUCCAUAGCGUGCUUCCAUCUGUAUUGAUCUUCAUGAUUCCUUAGGUUGAUAUAGAAAAUAAGAAGUACCUUACCUUGAAUUGGCAAAGCAUGACAACCAAGAGUAUUCGGCAGCCAAGUCCAAUUUAGAAAGAAAGAGAAAAAACUACCUUAUGUAGGGAGGAGCACCAAGUGAACUACCUUAUGUAGGGAUGAGUCAUGAGCAAACACCCCUACCCCACAACAAAGAAGUGUCCGCAUCUCAAAAAAUUAGGAGUGUCCCAGCAAAAUAUGCGUGCUAAUCUCUCUAGGGAAAAAGAGAAGACGUGUGUGCUCCUCCUUUUUCUGCGGACACAAAAAAAAAAGUACGGAGUCCUGCUUAGUUCACUUAGUGCUCCAGUACUUGGGGAUAAGAAAUCUUUCUCUACGCAGAUUGAAGAAUAUAUCUCAUAAAAAAUGAAAAUUAGUUGUUUAUACAUAUACUAAAUCGUGGAUGAAAAAAUGAGGCGACAUACCUGAUUGGCAUAAUACAUUUUUUUAUGCUAAAUUAGUUCUGCACUAUGAUAUUAGCUGUAUUAAAUCAUGGAUGGACAACUGAGACACGAAAUACGAAAUACAUAAAGAUAAAAGUGCCAGCAUUUUAUAUUCUUUCUCUCAAAAAGUUACUGAUAACCAUAGUGGCUGUUCUAAUUUGAAUCGCUGAGAUCCAAAAAUAAAUAGAAAGAAAUCAUGCUUGCAAGUGAUUCAGUAUAAAUUAAGUAUUCCUCAUGAAAAAAUAAUACGUCAUGAGAAAGACCACGUGAGAGCAUCUGCAGUGAAAUGCAUAAGAAAAAUAAUGCACGUGAAAGCAUCUGUAGUGAACCUAUUUACAAAAAUUGACCACUAACAUAUGCAAAAGUAUCCGGGUUGGACAAUUAAAAAUAACAAAGAACGUUGUACUGACUACAUAAUAAUAAUUAUUCACUAGUGGGGACAGGGUCUAUAGUCCCGGCCCGUAAGGGGCUUUAGUCCCGGUUCACCAACCGGGACCAAAGAGGCGGAACUAAAGGCCUAACCUUUAGUCCCGGCCCUGUUCCAAGCCGGGACCAAAGGUGCUCCAUGUGGGCGCCUCGGAGCGCCCUCACGGGCAGGCCCUUUAGUCCCGGGUCUUAACACGGACCGGGACUAAAGAGUUUCUUCAGAUUUUGUUUGUUUUAGGGUUUUAGGGUUUUAGGGUUUAGGUGUUCGGGAGAUUAACGUGAUGCCUCGUUUGGCAUUCGGGAAUUAGUUUUCAUAUAAUUCUAAAUAUACAUGUUUAUGUAUAUAUAUAAGAUUAACUUAUCUUACAAGCGAGCAUAUAUAUACAAUUAUAUGGAGAUCUGAAUUAUCGGGACUAGAGCCCGUUUAUUUAAUUCCAUGGACCAACAUCAGUAAUGGCCCCUAGCUACACUAAAUCAUCCUUUGUCAUCUAUAGCUUCCGUCCUCAGAAAGGUCGCAAGCUCCUCUACAACAGCAAUCGCGCGUUGCUCUGGUAGGUACUUCUCCCUCAUGGCCGUGUACUAUAUAAGAAGAGGAGAUGAAUAUGAAUAUCAAUAAUGAUAACAAAGAAUGGCGGGUAAAAAUAGAGGUGUGAAUGUUCAUUGCUUACGUCGUAUCUAUAAUCCUUGUGCUCAGAGGUAAACGUGCGAAUGGUCUCGCAAACAUAGUAUCCGCAUAGAUGCGUCCCCCGUGGCUGCUGGUCGCACUUUACGAGAAUAGAAUAUAAAUAAUCAAAAUAAUAAUCUAGCAUCAUAAAUGUAUUGAAAAUAGAAGUAUAUCAUACUACUACUUACCUGAGGCGCUCUAAAGGUCAGCUUCUCAUGCUCGAUACCGGGAGUCACACACUUGAACCGCUUCCAAACCCUGUCCGACAAGGAAAAUGAUUUGCUAAGUUUUUCAUUAAUUGAUAUAUCAUAAAAUCAUCGAAAGAGACCGAUAGAGCGCAAGAAUGAUUGAAAUUACCCUUGGAGCAUUUCCUGCAGGCUUUGGAACUGUUCGAAGGGUCUCGAUAAUGGGUCGAAGGCAUCAACUCUUCCCUUAUCAAUUUGAAUGUCCAACAGAAUCCAAUGGUAGCUACACAUGUAUAUAUAUAUACAUGUGUAGCUACCAUUGGAUUCUGUUGGACAUUCAAAUUGAUAAGGGAAGAGUUGAUGCCUUCGACCCAUUAUCGAGACCCUUCGAACAGUUCCAAAGCCUGCAGGAAAUGCUCCAAGGGUAAUUUCAAUCAUUCUUGCGCUCUAUCGGUCUCUUUCGAUGAUUUUAUGAUAUAUCAAUUAAUGAAAAACUUAGCAAAUCAUUUUCCUUGUCGGACAGGGUUUGGAAGCGGUUCAAGUGUGUGACUCCCGGUAUCGAGCAUGAGAAGCUGANNNNNNNNNNNNNNNNNNNNNNNNNNNNNNNNNNNNNNNNNNNNNNNNNNNNNNNNNNNNNNNNNNNNNNNNNNNNNNNNNNNNNNNNNNNNNNNNNNNNNNNNNNNNNNNNNNNNNNNNNNNNNNNNNNNNNNNNNNNNNNNNNNNNNNNNNNNNNNNNNNNNNNNNNNNNNNNNNNNNNNNNNNNNNNNNNNNNNNNNNNNNNNNNNNNNNNNNNNNNNNNNNNNNNNNNNNNNNNNNNNNNNNNNNNNNNNNNNNNNNNNNNNNNNNNNNNNNNNNNNNNNNNNNNNNNNNNNNNNNNNNNNNNNNNNNNNNNNNNNNNNNNNNNNNNNNNNNNNNNNNNNNNNNNNNNNNNNNNNNNNNNNNNNNNNNNNNNNNNNNNNNNNNNNNNNNNNNNNNNNNNNNNNNNNNNNNNNNNNNNNNNNNNNNNNNNNNNNNNNNNNNNNNNNNNNNNNNNNNNNNNNNNNNNNNNNNNNNNNNNNNNNNNNNNNNNNNNNNNNNNNNNNNNNNNNNNNNNNNNNNNNNNNNNNNNNNNNNNNNNNNNNNNNNNNNNNNNNNNNNNNNNNNNNNNNNNNNNNNNNNNNNNNNNNNNNNNNNNNNNNNNNNNNNNNNNNNNNNNNNNNNNNNNNNNNNNNNNNNNNNNNNNNNNNNNNNNNNNNNNNNNNNNNNNNNNNNNNNNNNNNNNNNNNNNNNNNNNNNNNNNNNNNNNNNNNNNNNNNNNNNNNNNNNNNNNNNNNNNNNNNNNNNNNNNNNNNNNNNNNNNNNNNNNNNNNNNNNNNNNNNNNNNNNNNNNNNNNNNNNNNNNNNNNNNNNNNNNNNNNNNNNNNNNNNNNNNNNNNNNNNNNNNNNNNNNNNNNNNNNNNNNNNNNNNNNNNNNNNNNNNNNNNNNNNNNNNNNNNNNNNNNNNNNNNNNNNNNNNNNNNNNNNNNNNNNNNNNNNNNNNNNNNNNNNNNNNNNNNNNNNNNNNNNNNNNNNNNNNNNNNNNNNNNNNNNNNNNNNNNNNNNNNNNNNNNNNNNNNNNNNNNNNNNNNNNNNNNNNNNNNNNNNNNNNNNNNNNNNNNNNNNNNNNNNNNNNNNNNNNNNNNNNNNNNNNNNNNNNNNNNNNNNNNNNNNNNNNNNNNNNNNNNNNNNNNNNNNNNNNNNNNNNNNNNNNNNNNNNNNNNNNNNNNNNNNNNNNNNNNNNNNNNNNNNNNNNNNNNNNNNNNNNNNNNNNNNNNNNNNNNNNNNNNNNNNNNNNNNNNNNNNNNNNNNNNNNNNNNNNNNNNNNNNNNNNNNNNNNNNNNNNNNNNNNNNNNNNNNNNNNNNNNNNNNNNNNNNNNNNNNNNNNNNNNNNNNNNNNNNNNNNNNNNNNNNNNNNNNNNNNNNNNNNNNNNNNNNNNNNNNNNNNNNNNNNNNNNNNNNNNNNNNNNNNNNNNNNNNNNNNNNNNNNNNNNNNNNNNNNNNNNNNNNNNNNNNNNNNNNNNNNNNNNNNNNNNNNNNNNNNNNNNNNNNNNNNNNNNNNNNNNNNNNNNNNNNNNNNNNNNNNNNNNNNNNNNNNNNNNNNNNNNNNNNNNNNNNNNNNNNNNNNNNNNNNNNNNNNNNNNNNNNNNNNNNNNNNNNNNNNNNNNNNNNNNNNNNNNNNNNNNNNNNNNNNNNNNNNNNNNNNNNNNNNNNNNNNNNNNNNNNNNNNNNNNNNNNNNNNNNNNNCUCAUGCUCGAUACCGGGAGUCACACACUUGAACCGCUUCCAAACCCUGUCCGACAAGGAAAAUGAUUUGCUAAGUUUUUCAUUAAUUGAUAUAUCAUAAAAUCAUCGAAAGAGACCGAUAGAGCGCAAGAAUGAUUGAAAUUACCCUUGGAGCAUUUCCUGCAGGCUUUGGAACUGUUCGAAGGGUCUCGAUAAUGGGUCGAAGGCAUCAACUCUUCCCUUAUCAAUUUGAAUGUCCAACAGAAUCCAAUGGUAGCUACACAUGUAUAUAUAUAUAUAUAUGUGUGUGUGUCAAUAACUUAUCAAUUACACUUAUAAGUGAAUGGACACAACAGAGUAAAGACCCUCACUUGAAGUUGUAUGGAAACAGUAUGUGGUCACAGAAAUUUUGACCUGUUAGAAACCUUAGAAGGUUUUCCUCCGUCUCCUUGGGUUUAUCAGUUAGCGUCGCUAUAUUUAUUUUAUCUAGGUCAAUAAACCCAAUAUUUAGGAUGUUCCUACUUUUACAUUCCAGAAUCUUCAUUCUGCAUAAUAGAGUACAAGUUAUAUGUAGACAAUAAAUUAAAAUAACUAAACAAGUUAUAUGUAGACAACGAAUUGAAAAACUUACACACAAUAGCAACUCAUAAGCGAUUUGUCGAGGGCGUCGGCAUUGUACAUCUCGAAGAGUUCAUCAAAGUCGAUAUGGAUUUCUUCGGGGCGGCCGUAGCACUCCCGUGGGACACGCGCCACGAUCAUCGUUCUCCCAUUCUUUGAUUCACUUAAGUACCAUGUAUGCAAGUAACGCAUAUUUGUUGGGAGAUCAUCAAACUUAUCUUUGCUAACCAAAGGCGCUCCCAUGACAAACUGUGGCAUAGGGGCCACCAUAGCCUUGGGUAACCUGUCGUCUUGGGAAGCCAGAACGUCUUCAACCGGGAUACCCCAUUCAUCCGCCCACUUCUUUGCUAAUUCCAAAUCUUUCCCCUGCACCAGAGAGGGAACAUUCUCGGGUAACACCCUCAGGGGUAGGAUCGACUAUUUGGCCUGUUGUCCAAGCUGAGGAACGUCUGAUCUUUUUUUGCUUGUAGUUGAACUUGAUUUGCUCCCACUUGCACUUGCACGUGAUCUGCUCUUUUUCCCUUCCUUCUGCAAUGUGCGUGUAUAGUCAUCAGGCUUAUGGUGUAAGUCAUACUGUGAUGGAAGGGUCGUGAAGUAUUUUGCAUAUGUUAUUUGCUUCUCGGUGUAUUCCGGGCGGGGCUCGGGUUCCUUCUUUUUCAUCUGCGCAUCAUAAUGUACCUUUGCUAUCCUGGCAUUUUCCUCGUCGGUAUGAUCAUAAGGUCUGAUAGGAAGAUUAGCAUGAGGUACCUUUGGGAGGGGCGACAGUUUGGGCUUUGGGGAGCUCCAUCGCUUAGAACUCAUCGACGGAGCGUUCUUGCUGGCACGCUUCCGCUUAGUAUCCUUAGCGGGCGGCGGCGGAGACGGACGACCCAAGUCCGGCGGCGGUGAUCGAGAUGGACUCGUGUUGUGCUGGCCAUCGUCAUGUGGAGGGCUUGGAGGUGAUGGAGGUGUAGGUGACCUGCGACGACUCGGAGGCGGUGUUGUCCUUGGGGCCGAGCCUGGAAGCUUGAUGUAGUUCUUGUCCCAUAGGAUGACCCCACCCAGUACUUCUCCGAGUGUCCUCUCAUCUUCGGGUCCAGCUAUGUCGAGCUCCAUAUCAUGAAACCCCGCCAUGAUUUCAUCCAUCCCGACUUUAGCAAAGCCAGCUGGAAUCUCACGGCCAUGCCAGCGUGCAUCAGGGCCAGAAGGUAAAGCUUGUCCGAUGGCCACCUUCAUGGAUAUGUUCUUGAAUUUCUGAUGGAGUUCACAUGAUGUUGACUCCUUGAUUCCAUCCACGGGGUAGCCGGGACCGCCCUCUAUCAUUCUUCGUGCAUCGUUGGGCGGGGCCUCAGAUUCAGCCACGCUGCUUUUCCACUUAGAUGGGGCGCCGGUAAUAUCGAGCGCAGGAUCUUCCUGGCGCGCUACUCCUCUAAGCUCAUCAAUCUGCUUCUAUUGCUUGUUAAGCCUGGCAAGCAACUGGUUAAACUUGUCAUUCUCCUCAUCCUGCUGUCGCUUCUUUGCUCUCGCUCGGCUUCUGUAAGUGUCUUGGUCUCUGGGAAACCCAAGCCACCACGGGUAAGAAGGACCGAAGCCUCGCGUUCGUCCUCCAUGUUCGUCAUUGUCGAGGACCACUGUGAGAAAAUCUUUCUCUCUAUCUGCAGUGAACUGUCUUUUUCCCUCCUUAAUUUUUUCACUAUCUUUUUCCAAUUCUCCCUGGGUAUCCUAAGACCGUCACUGCAGAUGAGGUCCCCUGUUUCUUCGUCGUAUGAACCACCAUGCGCAAGGAACCAAUUUCUUGCUCUCAAUUCCCACUCAUCACGGAUGGGUUCAGGUAUGAUGCCUUUAGCUAGCAGAUCUUUCUCUUUCUUAUCCCACUUUCGGAUGGCAGACUCAUAGCCCCCUGGCCCCAGCGUGUGGUGAUAUUUCUUCUUGUCGGCAUUUUUCUUGUUCUUUUUUGAUAAUGCCUUGGCAUCUUCUGACUCCUUGUACUCUUGAAAUGCCUUCCAGUGAUUCGCCUGCUUGGCUAGAUACCCCUCGAAUACUGGCACUUUCUUUGUCUUCCGAUAGUUUUUCAUAGCUUCUUCUUCCAGCUACAGAACAGUUCGACCAUCUUCUUUAGAGUCCACUGCUUGACUUUGGCCAUCAGUUUGUCUGCGGCGUCUUCAUUCUCACAUUCUGACAGGUUGAAAUGUGACAUGAGAUCAUUCCAAAGAUUAUCUUUGUACCUUUCGGUGACAUAGUCACUAUCGGCUGCCCCUUUGCGCUUGUUGCACUCCCGAACGCUGAUCGGGACGUGAUCCCUAACGAGAACUCCGCAUUGCUUCUUGAAUGUGUCAGCAGCAUUCUUAGGAAGCUUGGGUUCGCCCGUAGGCAAUAUCACCUCAAAGGUGUAAUGCAUCCGUGCAUCCAACUUUUUAGUCGGGCCUCGUUUCGUAGCUUUGCUCGAUGUGGAGGCUUAAGAGGGAGAAACAUUCGUCAAAUGAAUGUAUAUGUAUACAAUAUAGAGCUAUCUCCAAUAUUUUUCACAUAUUACAAGUGAUUGUCGAAGUUCAUAUGUAUACCUCGCCGGACUUUAUUAGUUCUCCACCGGCUUCUCCAUCAGUGGAGCUAUCACCUUCUCCAUCAUUGGAGCUAUCUCCUGCCCCAUCGGCUUCAUCUUCGUGUCCGUCGACUUCCAUUCCAUAUCCGGAGGGGUUUAGAUAUGACGACGGAGAUUCAGCUGGUUCAACGUCGGGGCCGUCUUUGAUUAUAUCUUCGAGAAGUUCUUCCUCUUCGAGGUUCCUAAUAUGUGGAUCCAUAGUUCUGCAAAAAACGAACAUUUGGUUAACUAAUAAACUAACAAACUAUAUAUGAUGCAAAAUAAUUCUAUUUCUAUUUGCAAAUAAAUUCUAACUAAAUAAUUCUAAGUAAAAUAAUUCUAUCUCUAUUUGCAAAUAAAUUCUAACUAAAUAAUUCUAACUAAAAUAAUUCUAUUUCUAUUUGCAAAUAAAUUCUAACUAAAUAAUUCAUGACUUCAUCAUUACCUAGUAGUAAUAGGAGCAUGAUGCUAUGAAGCUUUAUAAAGUUGUUUUGUAACGGAAUCCCGAAUAGGAUAAUUAGCUUUGUGGUACGCAGUUCAAAAAGAGCCAUCCGAAUAUCGCUAUUUGGAAGGACUUUGUUGAACUUUGUACCAAAAAAGAAUUAUUCUAUUAGGAACUCCGUUCCAAAACAACUUUCGAGAGGUUGAUAGCGCCAUGCGUCUGUUACUACCAGGUAAUGAUGAAGCCAUGGACCGACCCUAAACUAACUUACUUAAAUUUACAUAGCCCUAAACUAGCUAACACUAACCUAAUUAACACUAGUUUAUAUGUUUAAUUGAUGUUUGUAGUGAUUUAAGUGAUAUUUGUAGAUUGUAGAUUUGUAUAUGCUUAAACACUAACUGUGACCUAAACUAAAAGGCCCUAAACUAACUUACUAAAAUUUACAUAACCCUAAACUAACAAUAACCUAUUAAUUAACACUAACUACCUAACCCUAAUAACACAAAUUUAAAUGACACAAAAAUAACACAAAUAACCUAUUUAACACUAACCUACCUAACCCUAAAUUCACCAAAUAUUCUACAAAUAACACUUAAGCAUAUACAAUAGCAAAAUUAAGCAAUAAUCUAAAAAACACUAAUUAAGCAUCUAUAUAUGUACAAAAUUACAUAAGCAUGCAUGCAUGUUGACGAUCGAUCAAGAGAGGAGAGGAGAGAGGCUCACCAGCGGCAGGGGGUGUUGGAUCGAGGAGGAAGGGAGGGCGACGACGACGGCGAGGAGGACGGCAAGGCGACGACGAUGGCGAGGAGGACGGCAGGGCGCGACGACGAGGAGGACGGCAGGGCGACGGCGACGGCGACAACAAGGAGGACGGCAGGGCNNNNNNNNNNNNNNNNNNNNNNNNNNNNNNNNNNNNNNNNNNNNNNNNNNNNNNNNNNNNNNNNNNNNNNNNNNNNNNNNNNNNNGGUGUCGAGCAGUUCGUCCGAUGCUGCAGGCGAGCGAGAGGAGGAAGAAAGAUUGAAAUGGCGAUUUGGGUUGGAAAUUUCCAACUCCCGCUUAUAUAGGUGGAGCUUUAGUCCCGGGUCGGGGCUCGAACCGGGACUAAAGACACCCUUUUUGGCAGGCGAGGAGGCGGGAAACGAGGGGCUUUAGUCCCGGGUCGGGGCUCGAACCGGGACUAAAGGCUGUGUUUAGUCCCAGGUCUAGCCACGACCCGGGGCUAAAGACCCCUUUUCGGCAGGCGAGGAGGCGGGAAACGAGGGGCUUUAGUCCCGGGUCGUGGCUCCACCAGGGACUUAAGGUGGUCUUUAGUCCCGGUUCGAGCCCCGAACCGGGACUAAAGACCUGGGCUGGCUUCGGGGUGACGCAGGGCAACCUUUAGUCCCACCUCACCUAGCGAGGGGCGCUGGCAGUGCUUUAUAAGCACUCUCGCACUUUGCUCAAUUGAGCUUCUCUCUAUUGAAGGCAUGUGGGCCUAACUCUCAUCUCGCUGUCUGUUGGUCCUAUUGGCCCCCGGACCUUCAUCCUGGCCCACCUGUCGGGUAGGGUUUCUAGUCGUAUGCAGGUCGUGAUGACCCAAUAGGCGGCAUUUGUUUUUUUACUUUAAUAAUUUUUAGUCCUAGUUUAUAUUUUAAUUCUUUGCUAUUCAAUAUUUUUUUCUCUUCUAUUUUAGUUUUCUAUUGAGUUGAUUUGUUUUUGUUUCUUUUAGUUAAUGUUUUACUUGAUUCUUUCUAACAAAUAAGCACUUUGAAAAUUUUAGUAAAUUAUUCUUAAUUCAUUCAUUUUAGUUAAUGUUUUAGUUGAUUCUUUUUAGUUGACUCUUUUUUUGUUUUCUAUUAAAUAUUUUAACAAAAAAACUUUAUGAAAUUUCUGACUUCAUUUGAUAUUUUUUGUGCAUUUACUUAUUCUUUUGAGCUAGUUGACCCUGAAAUGGAAAAACACUACAAAUGAACUCUAAAAAUGUUGAAAGUUGGCAUGGUAUCAUCAUUUCACCCACAUAGCAUGUGCUAAAAGGUUGAGAGGGUUACGGCAAAAAUUGGAUACACUUCGUGUGCAAAACGGACAAUAUCUCUCGAAGUAUCAUGGUUUCGAACAAGAACUCAUCUAUUACAAAGUGAUUUCAUUUUUUUGAACUUAUUUGAACUCCAUACUUUUUGUGUGUUCAAAAUGCACCAUUCAAACGCACAUCACAAACUUUCAACAAUUUCUGACUUCAUUUGGUAUUUUUCGUGCAUUUACUUUUUUUUAGCUAGUUGACCCUGAAAUUGAAAAACACUACAAAUGAACUCUGUGUUGAAAGUUGGCAUGGUAUCAUCAUUUCAUGCACAUUCCAUGUGCUAAGAAGUUGAGAGGGUUACGACAAAAACUGGAUACACUUCGUGUACAAAACGGACAAUCUCUCUUGAUGUAUCAGCAUCUCGAACGUGAACUCAUCUGUUACAAAGGGAUUUCAUUUUUUUGAACUUACUUGAACUCCAUACUUUUUGUGUGUUCAAAAUGCACCAUUCAAAGGCACAUCACAAAAUUUCAACAAUUUCUAACUUCAUUUGGUAUUUUUCAUGCAUUUACUUAUUUUUUUGAGCUAGUUGACCAUAAAAUUGAAAAGCACUACAAAUGAACUCUAAAAAUGUGGAAAGUUGGAAUGGUAUCAUAAUUUCACCCACAUAGCAUGUGCUAAAAAGUGGAGAGGGUUACGAUAAAAACUGGAUGCACUUCGUGUACAAAACAGACAAUCUCUCUCGAAGUAUGAGGGUUUCGAACGAGAACUCAUCUAUUACAAAGGGAUUUCAUUUUUUGAACUUAUUUGAACUCCAUACUUAUUGUGUGUUUAAAAUGCACCAUUCAAAGGCACAUCAAAAAAUUUCAACAAUUUCUGACUUAAUUUGGUAUUUUUCGUGCACUUACUUUUGUUUUUUUGGGCUAGUUGACCCUAAAAUUGAAAAGCACUACAAAUGAACUCUGAAAAUGUUGAAAAUUGGCAUGCUGUCAUCAUUUCACCCACAUAGCAUGUGUUAAAAAGUUGAGAGGGCUACGACAAAAACUGGAUGCAUUUCGUGUACAAAACGGACAAUCUCUCUUGAAGUAUCAGGGUUUCGAACGAGAACUCAUCUCUUACAAAGGGAUUUCAUUUUUUUGAACUUAUUUAAACUCCAUACUUUUUGUGUGUUCAAAAUGCACCACUCAAAGGCACAUCACAAAUUUUCAAUAAUUUCUUACUUCAUUUGGUAUUUUUCGUGCAUUUACUUAUUUUUGUUGAGCUAGUUGACCCUGAAAUUCAAAAGCACUACGAAUGAACUCUCAAAAUGUUGAAACCUGGCAUGGAAUCAUCAUACUGCUCAGGCGGGGACCUUCAUACUACUCAGGCAUUCAAAAAAGAUUUCCUUCUCUGCUUUGGUAAGAGCAUAGCUGCUUAAGUAUUGACGCACUUUAUCAGUCUUCUUGUCGUAUGGGUCUUUCAUACGUUGGUGCUCCUCCCGUGCUUCUGUUGUAUCUUUUGUCUUUCUAUACACUCCCAGGAAGCCUAGCAGGUUCACGCAAAGAUUCUUCUUCACGUGCAUCACGUCGAUUGAAGACCGGACCUCUAGUUGUUUCCAAUAGGGUAGCUCCCAAAAUAAAGAUUUCUUUUUCCACAUGGGCACGUGUCCGGUAAUGUCGUCUUUCGGAACUGAUUGACCGCGAGGACCCUUUCCAAAGAUUACUAUUUGAUCCAAAUCCUUGACCAUAGCCAAUAACUCAUCACAAGUAGGGAGGUUAGGCUUCUUCCGGUGAUCUGCCUCACCGUUGAAAUGCUUGCCUUUCUUUCUUACGGUAUGACUGGUCGGAAGAAAUUGACGACACACCAGGUAGACAACCUUCUUAGAUUUUCCCAAAUAUGUACCUUUACUCUUAUCUAAACAGUGCGUGCAUGCAUUGUAUCCCUUGUUUGAUUGUCCUAAAAUGUUACUAAGAGCAGGCCAAUCAUUGAUGGUUACGAACAACAAUGCUCAUAGGUCAAAUUCCUGUUCUUUGUGCUCAUCCCACACACGUACACCUGGUGGGCCCACAACUGCAAAAGUUCAUCAACUAAUGGCCUUAGGUACACAUCAAUGUCGUCGCAGGGUUGCUUCGGUCCUUUAGUCCCGGUCUGUGGUACGUGCCGGGACUAAAGGCCUAUUUUCUGUUUUCUUAUUUUAUUUGUUUUUGCAUAUUUGAGAAUAUAAAUAGUAAUCUGUUUGCAUAUUUGAGAAUUUGACAAAACUAUGAAAAUGAAAAGUGUUUGAAAUUGAAUAAAUAAUUCAAAACUAUUUUCUAUUUUCAAAAUUAAUUAUUUUGACUAUCCAAACUAUUAACUAUUUUGUAAUUUUCAAUUAAAUACUAUGUUUAUUAAAAUUCUUUUUGCAUAUUUGAGAAUUUGACAAAACUAUGAUAAUAAAAAGUGUUUGAAAUUGAAUAAAUAAUUCAAAACUAAAAGGUUUAGUACAUUCCAUACAUGCAUUACAUAAAAGGUUUAAUACAUUAUUACAUUAUUGCACCAAUAUUCCUACAUAUUAUUUCUGUUUUCUUCUCGGUUAACCAUGGAGAAUCUUCAUCAUUCAGUGGGAUGCUUGGGUCAGUUUUCACUUUGAAGGGCGGAAUUUCAUGAAACUUAUUAUAAUCUACUGACAUGUCUGUCUUGUCAUCUACUCCCACGAUGUUUCUUUUCCCUCAAAGAACUAUGUCGCAUUUUGGCUCAUCGGACGAUAUCUUCUUUUGCUGAUUUCUUUUUAUCGUUUUUGUAGACAUGUCCUUCACAUAGAAAACCUGAGCGACAUCAUUGGCUAGGACAAAUGGUUCGUCCAUGUACGCAAGAUUGUUGAGAUCCACUGUUGUCAUGCCGUACUUUUGGUCUACAACUACCCCGCCUCCUGUCAGCUUCACGCAUUUGCACCGAAACAAAGGGAUCUUAAAAGUAGGUCCAUAGUCAAGUUUCCAUAUCUCCUCUAUGUACCCGUAAUAUGUUUCCAAACAGUGCCAAUUCUCGUCUGUUGCAUCAAAGCGGACACACUAUUUUGGUUGGUGCUCUUUUUAUCUUGGGCAACCGUGUAAAAUGUAUUCCCAUUUAUCUCAUACCCUUGGAAAGUACAUAUAGUCGAAGAUGGUGACCUGGCCAAACAGUACAGUUGAUCUCCAACGGUGUCGUCAUUUAUGAGAUGUAUCUGCAACCAACUUCCGAAAGUCUUCUCGUGUUCCCCUUUAAUCCAAGAGUCAGCCUUCCCCGGGUUUUUAGAGCGUAGAAUAUUCUUGUGUCUCACGAUAUACGGAGCCACCACGGUGGAAUUGUGUAGAACUGUGUAGUGUUCUUGAGAGAAAGAAUGCCCGUCCAUACAUACUUUUGCUUUCCUUCCUAGUGUGCCUUUUCCUGUCAGCCUACCCUCAUACCGAGAUUCAGGAACACCAAUCGGCUUAAGGUCAGGAAGAAAGUCCACACAAAACUCAAUGACCUCCUCUGUUCCAUAGCCCUUGGAGAUGCUUCCUUCUGGCCUAGCACGGUUACGAACAUAUUUCUUUAAGACUCCCAUGAACCUCUCGAAGGGGAACAUAUUGUGUAGAAACACAGGACCGAGAAUUCUAAUCUCUUCGACUAGGUGAACUAGGAGGUGUGUCAUCAUAUUGAAGAAGGAUGGCGGGAACAACAACUCAAAGCUGACCAGACAUUGGACCACAUCAAUCUGUAACCCUGAUAGACUUUCUCGAUCGAUUACCUUAUGAGAAAUUGCAUUGAGGAAUGCACAUACCUUCACAAUUGCCAGGCGAACAUUUUCCGGUAGAAUUCCCCUCAAUGCAAUCGGAAGAAAUUGCGUCAUAAGCACGUGGCAGUCAUGAGACUUUAGGUUUUGAAAGUUUUUGUCUUUCAUAUUUACGAUUCCCUUUAUAUUCGACGAGAAGCCAGUCGGGACCUUGAUGCUGAAAAGGACUUCAAAGAAGAUUUCCUUCUCUUCCUUAGUAAGAGCGUAGCUGGCACGCCCUUGAAACUGCCCUGGAUGCAUGCCAUCUCUUCCUUUAUGACGUUCCUGGUCCUCCCGUGCUUCCGGUGUAUCGUCUUUUGACUUCCCAUACAAGCCCAGGAAGCCUAGAAUAUUCACACAGAGAUUCUACGUCAGGUGCAUCACGUCGAUUGCCGAGCGGACCUCAUGGACUUUCCAGUAGGGUAGCUCCCAAAAUAUAGAUUUCUUCUUCCACGUGGGUACGCGCUUAUCAGGGCCGUUAGGAACAGGUUGGCUGCCAGGACCCUUUCCAAAGAUUACUUUUAAAUCUUUGACCAUAUCAAAUACUUCAGCACUAGUACGGAUGACAGGCUUCCCCCGGGGUUCUGCCUUGCCAUUGAAAUGCUUGCCUUUUUUCUUUAAGGGAUGCUUGGGCGGAAGAAAACGACGAUUUUACGGGUACACAUUCUUCCUACAUUUGUCCAGAUAUAUACUUUCUGUCUGAUCCAAACAGUGCGUGCAUGCAUUGUAUCCCUUGUUUGAGUGUCCUGAAAUGUUACUAAGAGCAGGCCAAUCAUUGAUGGUUACGAAAAGCAACGCUCGAAGGUCAAAUUCCUCUUGUUUGUGCUCGUCCCACACACGUACACCUGGUUCGGCCCACAGCUGUAAAAGUUCAUCAACUAAUGGCCUUAGGUACACAUCAAUAUCGUUGUCGGGUUGCUUUGGACCUUGGAUAAGCACUGGCAUCAUAAUGAACUUCCGCUUCAUGCACAACCAAGGAGGAAGGUUGUAGAUACAUAGAGUAACGGGCCAGGUGCUGUGACUGCAACUCUGCUCCCCAAAAGGAUUCAUGGCAUCUGUACUCACACCAAACCAUAAGUUCCUUUCGUCACCUGCAAAUCUCAGGAACUCUCUCUCGAUUUUUCUCCACUGCCGACCAUCAGCGGGAUACCUCAACUUAUCGUCUUUCAUACGAUCUUCCAUGUGCCAUCGCAACAACUUCGCAUGAUCUUUAUUUCUGAACAGACGUUUCAACCGUGGUAUUAUAGGAGCAUACCACAUCACCUUGGCAGGAACCCUCUUCCUGGGUGGCUCACCCUCAAUAUCACCAGGGUCAUCUUUUCUGAUCUUAUACCGCAAUGCAGUGCAUACCGGGCAUUUAUCCAUAUUCUCGUACUUCUCACCGCGGUAGAGGAUGCAGUCAUUAGGGCAUGCAUGUAUCUUCUGCACGUCUAAUCCUAGAGGGCAGACAAGCUUCUUUGCUUCGUACGUGCUGGCGGGCAAUUCGUUCUUUCUUGGAAGCAUCUUCUUCAUCAGUACCAGCAAAUUUUCGAAUCACGAGAGUCAGUCACACCGGUCUCUGCCUUCCACUUCAGCAAUUCCAGUGUGCUACCCAGCUUCUUCUGGCCAUCUUCACAAGUUGGGUAAAACAAUUUGUUGUGGUCCUGUAACAUCUGCUCGAACUGCAACCUCUCCUUUUCUGUGUCGCAACCUCGCCGUGCAUCAGAAAUGACCCGGCCAAGAUCAUCAGCGGGCUCAUCUGGUUCCCGUCUUCAUCCUGAUCUUCUUCUUCAUUGUCUUCCAUUGCGGUAUCAGCAUACUCAGGGAACAUAGAUCGGUAGUUGUCAUCAUCGUUCUCUUCUUCUUCAUCAUCGUCUUCCAUCAUAACGCCUCUUUCUCCGUGAUUGGUCCAAACAUUAUAGCCCGACAUAAAACCGGACCGAAGCAGGUGGCUCUGAAUGACUCUUGAGGAAGUGUAAUCCUUCUCAUUCCGACAUUCAACACAUGGACAAAACAUAUAGCCACCACCAUGCUUGUUCGCAUCGGCUGCAUCUCGAAAAGAAUGCAUGCCUUCUCUGUAAGCGGUUGUGCGUCGAUCACCGUACAUCCAUGGAUGGCUCAUCUGCGUUAUACGACAGUAUAUCAAAUACAAUCACGAUCCUAAAAAUUAGUACCGCACGGUCUAAACGAGGAAAUAUAGUUGCUAACCUUUUAGAAUAAGUAGAAAUAAAGAGGAAGAGGUUUAAGCGUGGCUCGGGCAUCUCAUAUCGUAGUUGUGUUCGGUGAACUGAAGCGGCAUCGCUCUAACACACAUUUCAACAAACACCUCUAGUGCAUCCAAGAAAAAUGGAGAGCUAGCACACACCCACACUCUUCCAUCCAAGAAAAAUGCAAGAAAGAGGGGAGAGGGGGGUUGUGGCCAAUAUAUAUAGGCAGAGGACUUUAGUCCCGGUUUGAGACACAAACCGGGACUAAAGGUGACGCACAUGCGGGCUGCACACCGCGUAGCCCUUUAGUCUCGGUUUAUGUCUCGAACCGGGACUAAAGGCUCCUUACGGGCCGGGACCAAAGCCUUGUGGGCGGCAUUGCGAUUUUGGGGCGACGUGGCCGGGCCUUUAGUCCCGGCCCAGAUGGAGGCCGGGACUAAAGGGUCCAGGCCAAAGGCCCGUUUUCCACUAGUGAUUAUUCACAUAUGACAUUGUACUAUUUUUUUUAUUUGUUAUAAUGGAAAUCUUAGCUGAAAUUUUGAAUUAGAAAAUGCAAAGAAUCAAGUGUACCAUAUAUCUUCGAAAAUAUGUAACACUGUGUACAAAUAAGAAGGACACGUGCAACCAUCAUGAAAUAGUCGACCAACCCUUUGACAACCUUUGAAUAAACGAAUCAUGUAUGCUCGAUGAGUUCAAUUUGCAGCUGCAAUUGUGUGGAAGGGGACUAAUGGAAUGACAAUUGAAAAUUUGAGUAAAAUUAUAUUACUAUAUAGAAAUGAGGGAGGCCAGAGAGUGAAAAAUACAACCAUCAGGUAUAAGUUGCACAACUCUAGAGUAGUGUGACUAAAUGAAUCAUGUAUGCCCGAUGAGUUUGAUUUGUAUAGUAGUAAUUGUAUCGAAGUAGACCAAUGGAAUGACAAGCAAAAAAAAAAAUUGAAUCUGGUUUCAUUUCUGGGAAGAAAUGAGGAUGGCGAGAGAAAAAAUAGUGAGUAAAAAUAUCAAAUUAACUACGGAAAUAUGUUAGAGACAUCUGUGUAUAUUCACAUGUGUACAUGCAAAAUGCGGGAAAAAAAUACGAACUCAGUUGCCAAAAUUUGGUUUAUAUUCGAUGCAUCGUACCGUAUAAAAAAAUCAUUUGAUAUCUUAGAUGUAUUGACACGUAUGGAUUCAUUUGUAUAAAAGAAGAGUUGUGUGAGUAUAAAAGAAUCGAACUAAGGUACUCAUGAAUUGGCGAUCAUGAGCAUAGUUUUGGGACACCCAUAAAUGACAAUGAAACGAUAGAUAAUGAAGACUUUAAUAGAUUACACAUGUACUAAGAUUAGGUGCAAAAACAGGAGAAUAGUAGAAUCAAUCUGGAUGUGGUGUGCAACUCACAUAACAUAUUAAAUAUUAUAUUUGGUGGGAGUAAAGAUCUGACACAAAUGAAAAUCAUUUCAGGGGUGCAAUAAGUUGUCUCAGUUAUGCUUAAAGAUAUAAGUAUCAGAAAAACAUUUGUGCGUAUUUGUAUUGUAAACUAUAUAGGGGCAAGUGAAAUGAGAUAUUCUAGAAAAUUUCAGCGAAUGUUUCCAAGGGGGGGGGGGGGGGGGGAGCCAUGAGUAUGUGAAUCAUAAUUGCGUGAUUGUACAUCUAGUCCCCACCGUAGGGACUUAGGAUGUGUCUCAUUGAUAACUAAAUUUUCACAAGCAAGCAAGCAAAAUAGUAAUGUAACAUAUAUUGAGAAUCACAUAAAGAAAGCAAUAAUGAGACGUAAUUGGAGAUAAUGUUUUAAGGUUGUAAACACCACAUAUCCCGAGAAUGUAGUAUGAAUUAUUUGUAUCAUGCAUAAAAAGGUGAUAAGUAAUUUAUUUCAGGCAGACUGAAUUUGGAGUUCUCAAUUGUAUUUCUAAUUUAGAAUAUCCUCAUGAUUCAGUAUACUACAAUUAUGCAUUAUUUUAUACUCCCUCCGUUUCUAAAUAUAAGUCUUUUAAGAUAUUUCACUAGAAGUCUACAUACGGAGCAAAAUGAGUUAAUCUACAUUGUAAAGUAUGUCUAUAUGCAUCCGUAUGUAGUUCACUAAAGAAACCUCUUUAAAGUCUUAUAUUUAGGAACGGAGGGAGUACAAAUUUAUCGAUAAUGCUGAAUAUUUGAAUUAUCAACCAAUAUUUAUAUUAAUAGAAAACUCUAGCCGUGCAAAUGUGUGGGUAACUCCGUUAGUUAUACUAAUAAAAUAUGAUGCCAAUCACCAUGGGGCGUCGGCAGAUCGCAAUCCUUUACUCUGUCUAAUUUUAAAACUAAAUAGUAUAUGCAGUGGUUGAUGCCGGAAUGAAUCAAAUGAUGCGGAUAAUAGGUAAAUCCUCUGUUUUUAAAUAUAAGACCCUUUUACAGCUUAAUUUAGAAACAGAGGCAGUGCCAUUUUUGCCAUAAAGCGAAAGUUUGCACAAUAUUUUAAGUGUAUGGCGAUCAAGUGAACUGUCUAAUGGCCAAUGGGUACGAUGAUAAUGACUUGUGUGUACCUUGUCCCAAUCCACCUUUGUUAGGUGGCACAUAGUGGUCAUAAUUAUCUUCUUCCGUCCAAAAUAUGCAGCUGGUCAGUCAAGUGUUUACGUAAGGUUCCUUCAAUUAAGCUGUAGCACCUAGCAGGGAAACUAUACGUUUAUGAAAUUAUCUCCCAAGAAAAUUUACGAAUAAAAUUUUCGAGUAUCUAAUCUGAGGUUUCGUAAGUUUAUAAUAUUCAAGUAAAAAUUGAUUUACCCCUACAAGGGGAGAAAUCCUCACUUUUUUCCUUUUCAAUAUUAGGCAGUAGUAGGCAGAGAUGGUGAAUAUAAAGGUGGUGCAGGAUUUAGGUGUACGUGUUCAAAAAAUUCUUCUGAUCUCACUACUAGUAUUUCUCGACCAAGAAAUGUCGGUCAAGACAGGCUCACGUGGCAUGUUAAUUACUUAGUGGAGCAGAUAUGUAUUACAUUUUUAAAGAAGGAAACUUAAGAAGUUGGGCCAUCAAUUAAGUUCUAGCAGCCAGAUUGGUUGAUAGUACUUGACUUGUUCUAUUUGCUCACAUGCAAGUUCAUGCACAUCACCACACUGUUGCUUGCACCAGCUCUAUCAAUCUGCGGCUAUUUAAGCACACCCAUACAUGCCUCCAUUGACAAAGCAACUCACAAUGGCUUCUUCUUCCACAUUGUUUUGCCUUUCUGCCCUCCUUGUGCUGGCCUCAAGGCAGGCCACUGCCUACGAUCCUAGCCCUCUUCAAGAUUUCUGCAUCGCCGACAUGAAGGCGCCUGGUAUGCACUACGUAUAGUGUGCACGUAUAGAUGUGUGCCCUUAAUUCUAGUGGUGGUAUAGUUAAUGUUGUGAUAGCGUAGUACUGAUCACACAUUGAAGGUUACUACAUACUGAUAAUAGUUUUUUUUGUGUGGGGUACAUACUGAUAAUAGUUACAAAAGUAGUAUCACUACAUGCUCAAGCCACCCACACAUUUCUUACUUGCUUUAUGUUACUUUCUCUAUGCAUGCAGUGCGGGUCAAUGGAUUUGCUUGCAAGGACCCAAUGGCCGCAACCCCGGAAGACUUCUUCAACGCAGCCAUGCUCGAUCAGCCUAGGGAUACCAAGGCCAGCAAGGUCAGGUCCAACGUCACCAACAUCAAUGUCAUCAAUUUCCCUGGCCUCAACACCCUCGGCAUCUCCCUGGCACGCAUCGACUAUGGGCCAUUAGGUGUCAACACGCCGCACAUACACCCCCGUGCCACCGAGCUCCUCACGGUGCUUGAGGGGACACUCUACCUUGGAUUUGUCACAUCCAACCCAAACAGGCUCUUCUCCAAGAUAGUUAAGAAGGGUGAUGUAUUCGUAUUCCCAAAAGCAAUGAUUCACUUCCAAAUGAACCUGGCGCAUGACAAGCCAGCAGCCGCCUUGUCCUCGCUCAGCAGCCAAAACCCUGGGGUUAUUUCUAUCGCCAAUGCAGUCUUUGGAUCAAAGCCACCAAUUUCAGAUGAUGUUCUAGCCACGGCGUUUCAGGUGGAGAAGGAUCUGAUUCACUGGCUUCAAUCUCAGUUCUGGGAGAAUAACAACUACUAGAUACUCUCUUUCAUCUGGGCAUAUGGAAAGUUCAUAUGUAAUGCUAGUAUAUAGAAUAAAUGGCAUGUAAUAAUACGUAUGCAUGCAUGGUUGUGAGCUGUGUUUUCAUU
This 72074-nucleotide long non-coding RNA is filed under the name Hordeum vulgare. RNAcentral describes it as "long non-coding RNA (HVUL_LNC019994)". Lineage: Eukaryota; Viridiplantae; Streptophyta; Magnoliopsida; Poales; Poaceae. The record is from RNAcentral.